Molecule: long non-coding RNA, 51782 nt
Filed under: Brassica rapa (field mustard)
Lineage: Eukaryota; Viridiplantae; Streptophyta; Magnoliopsida; Brassicales; Brassicaceae
Description: long non-coding RNA (BRAP_LNC002077)
Source: RNAcentral
AGAACGUCCACACAAGCGCCUAGCUUCAACGUGUCGAUUGGGCAAGUCUCUGGCUUAGGUGGAGUUGGUGUUGGCGGUGUUACGACCGGUGGGCUUGGUGUUGGUGGCGUAACAACAGGUGGCGGUGGGCACGGUGAUGGCGGUGGCGGUGGGCACGGUGAUGGCGGCGUUACGACGGGUGGAGGCGUAUGAGUGGGUGGUUUAGGGGUGGACGGAGGUGGUUUAACAGUGGGCGGUUUCGUGGGUGGUUUCGGGGUAGACGGAGGAGGUUUAACGGUGGGCGGUUUCGUGGGUGGUUUCGGGGUGGACGGAGGUGGUUUAACGGUGGGCGGUUUCGUGGGUGGUUUCGGGGUGGGAUGAGGUUUGGUAGGGGGUUUCGGAUGUGGGUGUGGUUUGACAGUGGGCGGUUUGGUAGGGGGUUUAGGGUGUGGGUGUGGUUUGACGGUGGGUGGUUUGGGAGGUUUUACUGCCGGUGGUUUAGGCGGUUUGCUAGGAUGUUUAGGCGGUUUGUGGGGGUGAGGUGAUGGUUUAGGAGGGCUACAGUCGCAAGCGAAGGAGACGGCAAGAAAGCCAAGGAAGAGGAAGAUAAGAAAAGAGAGGUUUUGUGUACGAGACCCCAUUUUUCUAGAGUGAGGGUGUGGUUUACCCAAAGGACUGAGUAAGAAAGAUAUAUGAGUGUAUCAUUUUAUAGAAAGAUAUUAAAAUAUAUUUGCUAUAUAUAAUUUUCAAAUAUGCAUUUUGUGACUAGAUUAUUGAAACUGAAUUUCAGUUUUUGUUUUUGUUUUGAAAUCUAGAUUUUGUAGCAUGUGUUAAGUCACUUAGUUACAACUUACAAGUUGUCAUUUCCUGAGUUGUAAAAAAAUAGGACAACAUUCGUUAUAUAUAUACUUCCAUAGAAACUCUAUUGUGGUUGUGGAUCAACCUAUGUGAAGAGGAUACAAAAAAAUAAGCUUUAAAGAUUUUAGUAAGUUCAAUUUUUUUUUGUAUUUUUCUUAUUGAUCAAAACACUGCCAAAAGCAAAUAAACUGCAUUUGGUGCGAAGAACUCAAAUACUACUCCUCGCAAGGUUUCUGCCAAAUCAUUUGCUCUAUCCUUCUCCCUUUGAGUUUUUUUUAAUCUAGGGAGAUAUAUAUACCUUGUUAUUCAUAGUCUACUUAGAACAAGGAAGCAGAUAUAUAUUAGAUUUCUAAUAUACAACCUCUGAGUAACUCGGAUUCGGCCACCUCCUCGAAUCAUAGGAUGACUCUAUCCACUCUUCAAUGUACGUAAUAUUAUUUGAUCAUCCAUGUUUUUGCACUCGGUAAUUUCUAGCUAUAUAUUAAAACUGGAAAUUGUUUUGAGUAAAUUCGAUUAUGAAUAGUUGGUAAACGUAUGGUUUUAUGCUUCUGCCACGGUUGUUUAAAUAAAGGAAUAAAAGAGUGCAAUUUUAACCAAAAAAAAAAAAGAGAGAGAGAGAGAGUGCAAUUUCAGUUCUACGAGACCUUGAUCUGAAUCCAAAAUAUAUUAUGAUAAAAAAAAAAUUCAUGCCACCAAAAAUAUUUUUCUUAAAGAAAAUAUGAUAAUUGGCCAAAAACCAUGAAAUUUGUGUUUUGUUUUAUCAACGUUGAGUUGACCUAGUGAUAAAGGAAUUGCGACUGUAACUUCCGCCACUUGGGUUCAAUUCACAGUGAAAGAAACUAUUUACAAUGCUUGGGUUUUCGGUUUUUUAGACCAAAAAGAAAAAUCCUUUGUUUUAAUUUCUUGGACAUGAUCAUAAUGGUUUAGCCAAUAUAAAACGUACAAACAUGAAAAUGUUUGACGAAACGACCACCGGAGAUAGAAUUGUCAUCAUGCAUUGAAAAACAUAAACUUUCGCAAAGGUAGGCACCAUUAUCGUACGUCUUAUAUGUUUUCUAUUUCUUUCUUUUGUUCUCGUUUCCAAAAGGCUAUUGUCACCAAGCUUUUCCAUCACAUAUUUUCCGUAAAAUGAUCGAUAUUUUCAUAUAUGGGUAAAACUUAGCUUUUCCAAAUAUGCGUUCUCUUUUUAUAAUCCUGUCUAAUAGUGUCUUGCACUCUGGUUUGUUAAAUCGGAGAUCCAGUUGGUCAAAUAUCUAAAAUCAAGGCGUAAAUCAGGGAAAUGUCCCGAUAUUGCCAAGCUCUAAUACUCUAGCAUAAUAGCAUUUUAAAGAAUGCCCAGUCUAUCAGCGUUUAACAGUCACUAGAUUAAAACAUUUGUUAUGUUAUUGCAUAGAUUUUCUUUUCUAAAAAAACUUUGGGCAGACAUAUUUUGUAAUUACUAGUGAAAACAAUGGGAGUAACCAGAGGAUUUUGUAGUGUUAUGGCCAGUGGGCAGACAAUUUAUGAAGGGAUUUUGUCAGCAUUACUUGACUUAAGACACACCUCCCAUCUUCUAUAGUGACAAGAUAUAAUUAAAGACAUCCUUCUCACUCUUCUUUUUUUCUAGUUCCUUCCGUUUUAGGUCCACUUUUCGAGAAGCAUAUUAGGCAAGUUCAGAACUUCUCUUGGGUUUUAGUUUAUGUUUUUACCUAUUCAAAAAGGAGGAAAAUAAUCAGUUUUGGUUUAGCAUACCAAACCUACGAUGUAAAGUAUUCAAAUGUUCAGUAUUCAUAUAAAGUAUAUAAGUCGAUAUAUCUUGAGCCAAGGUCCGAGUUAUUGGGAUUUCGUAGGUAGAUGACAGGUUAAAAAGUAUUCGUUUAUAUUGAUGAAAUCACUCCCCCACACCUCCAUAACGUGUUUCGGCCGUUCAGUCAUUUACAUUUUCAUAUAACCAAUCUAGGCUUUGGAUCAUAUAUUAUCCAUCCAUAUGAUUUGUUCAAAGCUUUUUCUUUAGUUUGUUUUUGUCUCCCGCGUUUGAAAGAUACGAGCUUUGUGAGCCUUUUAUCAGAUCUUUAAGUGAUUGAAUAGCGUCCGUGAUUGAUGAUUCUCUUUAGAAUUUUUCCAUUAAAUAAUAUUAAUUUUAAAAUAUAUAUUGUACUACUAUUAUACUAGUGAUGAUUCAGAAUAUGAUUUCAUAGUGUAAAUAGGUCAACAUAUACUAAUUAAAGCUAAAUCUACUAUAUGAUUGGUAAAAUUGAAACGAUCAUUUGGUUAACACACACGUUCACUGCGUUUGAAAUAACAAAACUGUAAAUUUACUUUCUUCAGAACACGAUUUAUAGUUAUUUUUCUCCCAGAUUCUUUCACAUGGUAUAGAAAGCUUAUUUAUUAGUAUUGUUGGGGAUUUUUGUUAUUCAAAUUUCUAUUUGUCAUGAAUAAAUUUAUUAUUGAACAGUUUUCACCAUACUAUUCGCAGGUGUACUAAGAAAAGGUAGAGUGAAAGUUGUACAAAAUCCCAUUGUGUCCGAGGAGUAAGAGCACUUCCAAUGGAAGUUCUACCCAUUAAAAUUCUAAAUAUGAAUAUGUAUAUAUGUAUAUAUUGUAUAUAUGUAUGUAGUUGUGGGGUCUACUAAAUAGUAUAAAAUUUCUAUUCAAAAGGUAUAAUUUUGGAGAUUCUCUAAAAGUUUUCUCUACCACUUUUUCUCUGAACAAACUUUUUUUUCUCUGAACAACCUUUCUUUGCCAUAUUCACUUUCGCAUCUCUAUUGACAAUAUCGCAAAAACAUUGUGGUUUAUUUUCUAAUUCAGUUUAUCAAGAACUGUUUAAAAUUAUUUUAGUUAUAAACCUACUUUGUAUGAUAAAUUAUGAAAUUAAAAACUUUUAGAUUUAUUGAAUAAAACAAAAUAAAGUUUAGACGCCACUACAAGGUGGCGGGUAGGAUUUGGCGGGUAGCAAAAACAUUGUAAACCCGUGAAGUCUGUCACUUUUAGGAUUUAUUUUUCUUUAAAAACCAAAAAUGGGAAAUGGAUAAUGUGACGUGCUGAAUGCAUCACAUGCAUGCAUGUGACUCCACCAUAAUUUAAGAAAAAACAAACUUAAAAAAAUGUGGUCUGACUCUCUGAGUACUCAUGUCCUAGUCGUGAGGACACGUCAGUCCAUCACCAGCCGGGGGAAAAAAUGUACACGAGAAAAGAUGUCGUUGUGAUAAUUUGUUUUGCAGAAGCUUUUUUUUUUGCAAUUAAAAAGUGGAGAAGAAGAAAUCGAACCCGGUUUUGCGGAAGCUUGAUCAUUUCUUUACUGAUAGAGUGAUAAUAGUUAGAGAAAAUUGGCCCAUGUACCCUUAAAUGAUCCCUUAAUUUGAGCUUUGCGCCUGAAAUGACAGUAUUAGUUUUAUUCUGAAAUUAACCUUACUUCCUCGUUGACGGCUUUAGAUGAAGUUGUGUCAGUAUACCCUGUGCAUGUCGAAAAUAUGUAUCAGAUGGAAAAUUCUUUUCUAGUUCUCUUUCUUCUCGUAAUCUCUUUCUUUUCAAAGGUCUUUUUUUUUUCUUUUCACUUCUCUAUAUUAAAUGUGUGUUUUGCAAUGUCUUUCUUCUCUCCUUCUCUAUUUUUUUUUGGUGUAAAUGUUAAGAUUUAUACCAACUUUUCUGUUUUUUGAAUUACAAGAUGUGGCAAGCCACUUAUUAAGCAACAAGAAGAGAAAGAAGGAAAAGAAGCAAGAAACUAAGGUUCAUUACAAAGAAAGGCGGAGUAAAGCUGCAGGAGCGAGACAUGAGAUGGAGAUCGAGUCGGGAUAGAGAGCAGCCGGUCCCUAAUCAUGCGAUCUACCCUUGAAGCCAGCACCGUUGCAGGAAUAGAAGUGGUUGUGAAGAUGCGUGCGUUCCUUUCCCUCCACAAGCAAUAAAUGACAACCUGCAAAAUUAGCUUGAGGACUGGUAUAGUCCUAGGUGUAGAAGUGAACUGGUGACAUCGCAUCGCGUUGGCACACGCUAGUGUUGAGACCGGAGGAGCCGAGAGAUAUCUUCCUACACAGAAACGCGACCAAACAGAAGAAGCAUAGGUGCAUUGAAAGAAUAGGUGAUCAUGUGAUUCUAGCCCAGUUGAGCAGAGCACACAGUGCGCCGGAACAUUCAUGCCCCAAGACGCUAGCCGAUCCCUUGUUGGUAGUCGUUGAAGCACAGACAGCCAGGUGAUAAACGAGCAACGCGGGAUUUCCUCCUUAAACCAGACCAAGCCUGCCCAUGAAACUGGCUCUGCAGUCUGCCUUAUGAGCUCCCAUGUUCUCUUGGUGGAGAAUUGUUUGUCAUAACUACUGUCCCCACUGCGCCACAGAUAGCAAUCUUUACCUCUCGAGGGAGAUGGUGGUGGGAUUGUGGAAAGAACAAUCUGUAGUGUCUCGGACUCAUCAGAUCUAGCUGAUGGGAUUUGCCAGGUUCCAUCCCUAGUUGCCUCGGAAACUGUAGAGUUUAGGGGAAUGCGGAGAUCUCUUGGACCCGUAGGACCCAUUGCCGAGAUCAAAGGCCCCAUAUCUGUCCACCAGUCAAACCAAAAAGACGCUGACCUGCCAUCGCCUAUAGAGCAUCGAAGGAAAUAUUCAACUGUCGACUUGAUGGAGAUCAUAUUUUUCACCGUUGAAGAAAACCGUGCUGCAUUUUCCAUAAUCCAGUAGCUUUUGCGGAUGAAAACGUUGUUGUACAACCAACGGCUCCACAACGACUCAGAGGAGGUGAAAUAAUUCCAGACUCUCUUCAACUGGAAUACCGACUGAUAAUCUUCAAGCUUUCGGAUCCCCAAGCCUCCCUCUUGCUUAGGUUUACAGAUACUCUCCCAUGAAACCCGGGCUCCCGAAGCCGAAGUGGUUUUGUUGUUCCAUAGAAAGGCUGAGCAUAGAGAAUCCACUUUUGCGUAGAACCGCUUAGGUAAAGUGAAUACCGAACUCCAAAAAUUGACCAUCCCGUAGAUAACGGAGGUCACCAUUUUUAUCUUUCCAGCAAAGGACAAACAUUUAGCCGUCCAUGAAUGAAGCUUAUUGGUGAUUCGCUCCAGAAAUGGCUGCAGGGAUUCGAAGUUCAAACGAGUCGGAUUCAGGGGUAAGCCUAGAUAACGGGUAGGAAAAGAGCCCUUCUUGAAUCCUGAGAGGUCACUAAUUACAGAAGCUUCGAUACUACUAUAACCCCCAAGAAAGAUUUCUGAUUUUGUGGGGUUAGUAUCAAGACCAGUCCAGCAUUUGAAAGACCUCAUUACUGCUUUAAUCCCAUUGAUUGAGUGAUUAGACCCGUCAGAGAAGACAAGCAAGUCGUCCGCAAACAGCAAGUGAGUCACUCUAGGAUGGGCACAUAAAGGAUGUAAACUCAUACCCUCUUCAUCAACCAAUUUCUCAAAUAAUUUUGACAGCACUUCCAUAAUCAUGAUAAAGAUAUAUGGGGAGAUAGAGUCACCUUGACGCAAGCCUUUUUUACCGGCGAAGAAUCCAGCCAGCUCGCCAUUUACGGAAACGGAGAAUCUUGGAGAGGUCAUACACUCUUUAAUCCAGGUAACGAAGAUCGGGGGAAAGGAUUGAGCUUGCAACAAUUUGAUAACGAAGUCCCAGCAGACAGUAUCAAACGCCUUCCGUAGGUCUACCUUUAGCGUGCAGCUUGGCUGGCAGUUUGCUGAGUUGUAUGACUGAAUCAGUUCGGUCGCUAAGAGGACAUUGUCCCCCAGAGAUGUGCCCUUCAGAAAAGCCGCUUGAUUUGGGCUCACACAAGACUGCAUAAGAGGUUUUAACCUGUUGGUGAUUAUUUUCGAAAUGACCUUGUAGACUAUGUUGCAGCAACUAAUCGGUCUGUAGUCUCCCAGUCUGCAUGCUUCAGGGGUCUUAGGUAUUAGAGCAAUGGCUGUGGUAUUCAGAUCCUUUAGGAGACGACCAUUCCUGAAGAAUUCUGCUACCGCAUUAACGACGUCCUGCCCUACGGUGUCCCAAGAAGCCCGGAGAAACUCAACACAAUAGCCAUCGGGGCCAGAACUCUUGUUCAGCGGCAUUGAGAAGACUGUGGCCCGGAUCUCCGCUGCUGUGACUACUCUACUCAAAUACCGUUGUUGUAAUUCUGAGCAUCUGAACCCUAACAGACCUUGUAGUUCAGUGACAGUUACCGGCGAAGUAGCCAUAUCUGUCUGCCCUAAGAUUCCUUCAAAAUAAGCCGCAGAAUGGGCUUUAAUACCAGCAGCUGUUCCAAUAAACUGAUCAUUUUCGCCUUUAAGGAAGUGAAUGUGAUUGCGAGUCAGACGUUGAGAGACUGUCUUAUGAAAGAACGGUGUGUUACGAUCUCCCACAUCUGCCCAUCGCACUCUUGAUCGUUGUCUAUAGAACUUUUGCUCUGCAGUUAGCAACAUGUUGAGCUUCGCUCGGUCCCUGUGCUCUUGCUCUGCUGUAUUCCUGUCUGGAGCAGAUAGUAGCGAACGUUGCAGUCCCUCUACGACACUCGUUUGCUCCUUUACCCGCUGAGAGAUACCACUAAAAUGAGUCUUGUUCAGGUAACGGAGAUCCUUUUUCAAACCUUUCAGAGAGCGGACUAGUUUGAAUUGAUCCGAUCCUACAAUCUGAUUAGGCUUCCAAGCUUCGGAGACUGUUGCAGCAUAGUCCGGAUGGUCAAUGACAUGAUGAAAGAACUUGAACGGCUUACAGGACUGUCGUCUUAGCGACGGAAUUCUGAAGGCACAAGGAGCAUGAUCAGACUGGCCUGGUUCUAAGUAUUCAGCAUAAGAAUCAGGAAAUACUGAUGCCCAGGCCUGGUUAAUGAAAGCGUGAUCAAUCUUCUUAGAAAUAGGGUUAUCAACUUGGUUAUUCCACCAGGUGAAUGGAGAACCCUUUGAUUGAGCUUCGAAUAACUCAGCAUCCUGAAGUGCCGUUGUCAUAUCUUCCAUACCCGUAGUAUCAAUAACAGAAUCAGGGUAUUGGGAGUGAUUACUAACCCUGAUGAUUUGGUUGAAGUCGCCUACAACCGACCAGGGAGAGUGAGAAACCGAUGUUGUUCUGUUGAUGAGGGUAAGUUCAUCCCAAAGAGAUUGCCUAGCUUCCACCUCAUUAAACCCAUACGCAAAAGUGACGGUGAGGUUGAUAUUUUCCGCCAUUAUGAAAAUUCCACAGGUAAUUGCCUCAGCAGAGGCACUAUACACAAAAACUGAUACCGUCGGGUCCCAAACGACCACUAUCCUACCGGCUGGAUGAUGUUCAAAAUUCCCAAAAUACCUCCACCCUGCCGGAAUUGCAUUCAAAAUCCGAGAUUGGUUAUUUUCUUGUACAUGUGUUUCCAAAAAAGCUCCCAGUAGAGGUCUGUGGAUAUUAAUCCACUCUCUGGUCAUUGUGUGGCGUAUAUCACUAUUCAGUCCUCUAACAUUCCACGCAAAAAAUAUCGACAUAAUGAUUAGUGGUUGCGUUUGGCCUUGCGGCGACUCUUUCUCCCGAGAACCAGCAGAAAGCCAUCAUCACUUGUAGCAUCAUGAUCAGUUUGUGAGUAACCUGACCUGUGCUCCUCCACUCGCCUCUCGUGAAUUACAUCACUACUAGACUCUUUAGUAGUAUUAUAAUUCAGUGAGACUUUAUCAUUUGUAGAUUGUCUGGUACAACCAUUUUCCGGAGGAUGCACUGCAUCCUCAACAGCCACUCCCUCCGCAGCAUCCUCAGCAGCCACUGCAACCUCAGCAGUCCCAGUGGGAUCAAUUGAUGUCUCCGCUGUUCCUAGACUGAUCUCUCCCUCCUCUCGAUCAAUGGCAGCAGGAUCUCUGUCUUUUUCCGGAGAGAUCUUCACAUUAUGGACAGGUUUACGGGAAUGCCUUCUAUUGUUGGGGCGGGAGCGUCCAGCGCGUUCCUGAAUUGGUUUCUUCUCCCUACUACGAGAUGUGCUUCUGUCCCGAUUAACCACUGUUCUUCCUCCAACCGCGGGUACCCGACAUUUAUCAUUCUCGUGCCCAAAUCUCCCACACUGACUACAUUUUACUGGUAACCAGGGGUAGGUAACAGAUAUUUCAACCUCACGACCAUUAGAAAACCCUGAGAUAAUCUUUGAGGGUAGUGGUUUGGUAAGGUCAACUCUGACGUACAUCUUCGCCACCUUAAAAUUUUCCUUGCGCUCUGUCUCCGGUGCAAGUGAAUCAGGCUUACCAAUAGCUGUAGCGAUCCUGCUCAAGCUCUGUUGGUUAAACAGUAGGUAGGGAACAUUCCGCAACUCCACCGGAACUACCGCAGACGUUAAUGGGGCUUCCUCUGGAGCAAAGUCAGGCGACCAUGGAGCCACGAACAUUGGAUAUCCAGCCACAUUCCAGCAUGUACGACUGAGAAGAGAUUCUCUUGCUUUAAUGUUUAUAACUCGCAGCAAGUAGCAUCCUUGGCCAAUGUUAUGAACAAAAAUCCUCGGUCCCGCCUUUGCCCAAAUAGCAUUUACCACACCAAUGAUUCGACCCAUUGAUGGGAAAUCACUGUGAAAUCUCGCAAAGAGGAAGUCUUUGAAUUCUUCUCUUGCUGAUUGAAUGUUGUCAUCGGGUAUGAGAACAAACGGCGCUCCUGAGACGUGCUCUGUAGGCGUACCAAGUUCUUCCAGUUUCGCUGAGGCCUUAAGAAGACUUGCAUAGUUUUGGUUACCAGAGGGCGAGACCGGCCUAACAGUCUCUGUCUCCUCAGAGGGUGUAUCCGCAGUCAAAUGGACUGGCGAUGAUCCGAAAGCCACCUCCUUUGCAGCAUUCAGAACAGUAUCAGUAUGAGCUGAUGUCUCAGCCACAAUGACUGGAGCAGCUACUGAUUGCAAAUCCCCAUUUCUUUCAUGGGUAGAUGUUCCCUCAACAGACAGAGAUGCCGAACCUUUAACAUUAAGAGCCAAAGCGGACUCGUCUUGAGUCAGAUCUGUAGCCGCGGUCACUGCCUCGUAGCUAGAAGAAAGCUUCUCCUCUACCACACCUGUGGCAAUUACAGCAUCAGCAAUGGGAUUGCUGGCGAGAGGAAUAGAUUUCUUCUUGCCCUUAGCGGCAGCGGCGAACCGGGCCAUUUUCGAAGAACCUUGUAGCGGAUGACGUUGUUUGUUUCGAAAUUUCAUGGGAGCCAGAGAUUUGAGAAGAAGAAAGGAGGCAGAGAGUUCUCGCCGGAGGAGCGUGGUGCUCUCCGACGGCGGAUUCGCGGUGGGAAAACCCUUAUCCUAAAAAUCGCCUUUAGCCCUCAUGAGAGAGAAAAAUCAGAAAAUUCAUAAUUGUUCCCACAUUUAUCCAGCUCUCCUUCUCUAUUUUGUUCGUAGAUUCUUUAUUUUUGUUUCGUUUUUUAAAUCUUUAGAUCUUUAUAAUUUAAAAAAAAAGAAAAAAGAAAUUCAUCUCAAAUUUGUUUUGCACUACUUUUUCAUAUUAUGUUCUUCAUCUAGACUUUUUUGGUUCCUUUUAUUUUAUUUUCUAUGUUUGAUUUUUCUCAUUAAUAUAUUUUAUCUCUAAUGAACUCUCUUUCCAGGGUUGGGAAGUUGCUGAAGAUCCAAGAUGAAUCCAGAGUGAUGGCUAGCAAUUUCGUGAUGUUUGUUGAUAUAUAUAACAUUUAUGUUAGCAACCAUUUUACUUGUUACCCAAUAUUAUUUAUGUUUAUUAGUGUAUCUUUUGUUUUCUAUCGCCAUUUGAGAUCAAGUUUUUUAGAUGUUAGUAUUUAAUUGUCGCUAACUGAUAAUAUGUGGUAACGUGUUAUAAGUUAUGUGUUGUUAGUAGAUAUAUAGUUGGUUAAAUAAUAUAUGGCUUGUUAGGCGUUAAAUUUUUCUUGGUACUUUAUUUAUUAGCUAAUACAUUAUUUGUUAGCUGAUACAUAUUUUCGUAGUAGAUACAAUUUUUUAUUAUGUAUGUUAUUGAUUCUUUUAACAUACUAGACAUAAUCAUGAUCAUCUAACAAAGCAUAUUAUAUGGUUUGUUAGCUGAUAUAUGUUUUUUUUUCUGAUUAAAUAUCAAAUUUAUUGAUCAAAGUGAAAAAGGAAUUUACAUAAAAUGAUAUAUUGUUCUAAUCUGUAAAGAAUAAAACAAUGAUAUGUUCUAAUAUGUGUAGACAGUAAACUAUCUCAUAAAUAGUCCGCUCAGCUUAUGGUUUUCCCUAUACUUCAAAGAUGAGAUGCGCUUCUUGACAAUAUUCCCAAUGGCCUUAGUAGUUGUAUCAACAGGUGCACACACCUCCGUGCCGUCUUGAGUUCCUCUCCUUCCACAACAUAUAAAUGACUGUUUGGAAAACUAAGCGGAGGAGUAUAGCAUCGAGUCUGCUCCUGUUCUGGCGUAACAGGGAGGUGACUAUAUCUUUCCAGUCCGGUGUUAUCGCUAGACCAAAUAAUUUCUUUGCUACGUUUAUCCAAACUGUGAAGGUAUAAGGGCAAGCGAAAAACAAAUGAUCUCUGCUUUCAUCCUUGUCUCCACAGUAGACACAUCAUUGCUCCAUUCUCCAUUCUUUCAUUCUAGUGCCUGUUGAUAAUCUGUCCUUGAAAACUAACCAUACCACGAAGGAUUGUCGGGGUAUGGCCUGAGGGAACCACACAAUACAAUGCCAAGGAAGCUUUGUCUUUUUAACUCUCAGGUAGUUCCAAGUCUUGGUAGCUGAGAAAUAUGGUUUCAAAUCAUCCUGGUCAUGUCUCCAUAGAGCUAUAUCUGGCCCUGCAGUAGCUACCGGCUGUGGAAUCUCUGCAAGCUGAUAUAUGAUUUUUUGAAUAGACAGUUUUUUGUUUUUUGUUUGUUAGAUGAUAAAUGGAUUGAUACAUAUUUUGUGAGUAAUACAUUGUCUAAUAAACGGUUCGUUAUUUAAUAAAUGAUUUGUUAUCUGGUACAUGUUUUUUUAGCAGUGCAUAGUUCAUUAACCAAAAAAUUGAUAUUUAAUAUUAUGUAUAUUAUUGAAUACAUAUUCUUCUUUCUCAUCAAUUUAUACGAUAUAUAUAGAAUUAGAAAAUAUUUCGAUCAAAAAAAAAAAAAAUAUUUCGCAAGUGUGUAAGAUAUUUUGUUAUUAAUACCAUUCAAAGUUCGUUGCUACUCUUGUUUGAUAAAUAGUUUGUUAUAGGAUACAUGAUUUAUUAUCUGUCACAUAUUUUGUUAGCUGAUGAAUAGUUGAUACAUGGUUUGUUUGAUGGUUCGCAAUUUAUUAAAUGAUACUUACAUACAUACCAACUAACACAUAUGUUAUCAAGAACGGGUUCUUCUUAAAUUUUUGAUACACCACCGCAUGAAUUAUAGUUGAAGAGAAAGACCACAACACAGAAUCGCUAUUAAUAUGAUUGGAAAUUGAAAACACAUUAUGAUUUGAAACAUAAAGGGAUAAGAACAAUGUUCACCGGAAGGGAUAAAAUCCCCGCAACCUGUCAUAUCGAUCGGAGUGUUUAAUGUUGAAUCCUCCAGUGAGUUUAAUGUCAUAUAGGAGUGUUUAAUGUUAAAUUUUUAAUACAAACAUAAGAACAUCAUUAGUGGUAUGAUACCCAUUUAGAGUAUCUAAUUUAUAUAAUAUUAAUAUUAAAACUAUUAAAUUUUAAACAAAAUAAAAGUCCAACCAAUGAGACAACAACAAAUAUUACCGGAGUCUAUAUCAAAUUGUGUGGAACGUUUCUUUAUAAAGGUACGUUAUCUUUCUAUUGUUUUGAUAUUUUUAUUUCAAAAAACCUAUUCAGAAACUAGCACGCAAGUUUCCUAAGAACAGUUUUUAAAAAAUGAUGUACUGAAUAUCUAUUUAUUAAAAUAAAAAUAAAAGGGAAUAGAGAACUAGAAAAGUUCUUAAUUGAGAAAUUUUGAGAACCUCAUAACAACCUUACUGUCCAAAUGUCAAAUAUUGGUUAGAUUUUUAAUAUCAAAAUUAAAUUUAACUAAGAAAUUAAGUUCUAUUUAAAAUUUAUAUUUUUUGCCGUAAAAAAUCCAUGUGGAUUCUUACCAAUGGUGUUGCUCUAAUAAGACUAUCCACAUCAAAAAUAUUUCAAUUAGAAUAUGUCACCAAAAUAAUAAUUUUUAAUUUUUUUUAAAGAGAUUCAUGCUGAAAGUCGUCAUUUGAGAAUUCUGGACAUGAGUCUAUCAAAACAUUUGUAAAAAGAAAUCAUUAAAAUAUUGUAUUUUGUUGAGAGAUUCAAAUAAUAAUGUCCUAACGAAACAUACUUAUGCAUGAGUAUGAUUUCUCAACUUUGUUUGCUCUUUGGUUAGCUAAAACUACAAAGAAAUAUUUGAUAAAAUAUCAGUAUUUGUGAUUGGAUAAGAACGGAUAUGUAAAUUAAUAUUAGUAUUUAUGAUUUGUUAGGAACGGAUUUUUGGAUUAAAUAUUACUAUUGAUUUCGACACGUCUACUAAUAAUUCCCAUCGUUUAGCACCUCAAGACGUAGAAGAAGACAGUAACAUACAGGGAAUAUUAUAGUGGCACAAAUAUAUCAGAACUCAACUAUAUUGUGAGACGAUUGAAGGUACAAAGAAAAGUUUAUUAUGUCUUACUUUUUCCACUUAUCUUCUACUACAUUUUGCCUGGAUUUGAAACUUUAUUAUGCUAUCUUUAGCUAAUUCAUGCAAUAAUAGAUUUCCUUGGGAUGAACUGGCACAAUUUUUUUUGAACACAAAGAUGAACUGGCACACAUAUUAAACAUUUGUCGGUUAUUUCGUAAGUACAUUCCAGAACAAAAAGAUACUAAUGUAUGUUGAUAUGUAUUACCAUUUACAAGAAUAACAUUGACAAAAGAAUAAAGAGUAGAUGUUCAUACAUUUUCAGUGUCACAUGAAAACACAGUUAAGUAAGUUUGGGUUGGCUCAAAAUAGUCAAAGCGAGUUAAGCGAUCAUUUAGGCCGAAUACUAUAGAUUAGAGCAUUUCCAAAGGCACUCUAUUUUUUCCUCUAUAAUUUACACUAAAAUAGAGUAACUCUAUUAUAGAGUUAAAUUUGCUCCAAUGGUUCACUCUAUAAUAGAGUUACUCUAUAAUAGAGUGAAAUAUAGAGUAAUCCUAUUUUUUUACUCCAAAUAUAGAGUGAAAAAACAAGAAUACUCUAUAUUUCACUCUAUUAUAGAGUAACUCUAUUAUAGAGUAAACCAUUGGAGCAAAUUCAACUCUAUAAUAGAGUUACUCUAUUUUAGAGUGAAAUAUAGAGGAAAUUAUAGAGUGUGAUUGGAGAUGGUUGACACAUUCUCUCUCUUUUUUUUUUUUUUGCUAAAAUUCUCUCUCUUUUUUCUAAUGGUUUUUCCUUUAAAGUAAGAGCAUCUCCAACCCCACUCUAUUUUUCACUCUAAAAUAGAGUUUAGAGUAAAUAAUGCUCCAAUGGUACUCUAUUUCUCACUCUAUAAUAGAGUGAAAAAUAGAUUUACUCCAAAUAUAGAGUAAUUUGUUUUUUUUUUGUUCAUCACUCUAUUUUCUACUCUAAAAUAGAGUACCAUUGGAGCAAACUCAAACUCUAUUAUAGAGUUACUCUAUUUUAGAGUAAAAAAUAGAGUGAACCAUUGGAGAUGGUCUUAUGCAAUCGGGAAUUUUUUUGCUUGUUACUGUUCAAAACCAAUAUAAGAGCUAUAAACCCAAUCUUAUAUGAAAAAAAUAUCAUGAAACUAAUAAAGAAAAUUGACCUUCCAAUAUAUAAUUACGGAUUUCAAUUUCAUGCAUGCAUGCAUGUCCCUGCACCAUUCGUUUCUUUGUUUCCUCUCACGACCCAAUAAUUUGAAAACCAAGUAAAUUAAAAGAAAUAUUGGUGGUCGUCUGAGUACUUGAGUAUUAUUCGCAAGGACGUGUUGUUGGUCCAUAACCAGCAGAAAAGACCAAGAAAACGAUAUUGGUUUUGAUGUUGAAUACACGUCGGUCCGACGACAGCAGAAAAGAGAAUAAAAUCCAGACGCCAUAUGAAUUUGUUUAUGUCGGUAACUCAAUAGCAGAAAAUAGGAUUAUAUAUAUUGAAUCAAAAAGCGAUCAUCGUUUUGAUAUUUUAAUUUACGCAUGUACCUGCACUAAAAAUAUUGAAAUAAAAAUAAUAAUUUUAAUUUUGAUUUUUUUGAGCAAAAUAUCACAAAUAAAAUACUUUCAUACGUAUCUUAACAGUAAAAUAGUGAUAUAUUUUAAUAUAUAUAUAUAUAUAUAUAUAUAUUUAUCUACUUUCUUAAAAAACAUUCAUUAGAAAUACUCUUAAAACAUAUUAAAAAAACAUUUUUAUUGAUUGCAGAUUUUUUUGUAAAACAGAGGUUGACUAACGAAAUGGUUGGUUUUCAAGUUUAUCAAUUGAAAUGAAAUCACAGUUAACUCUGGAUUUAGCUAACUUUUAAAUUAACAAAUCAUUUGAAGGAACUCCACAUGUCCUAUUUCUUAAAUAUACUUUAAGCACAAUUUCUAAAUUUCCUGGAACUUUAAGAGUUUCAGAAUACCGUCCUAUCUCCUGUCUGAAUACUAUAUAUAAGGUCAUUUCGAGAUUCCUAGUUUCAAGACUCAAACCUAUUCUACAGCACUUGAUUCUCCCGUGUCAAACUGCAAUCGUUAAGGAUAGCCUGCUUGUUGAAAACACAGUACUUACUAGUGAGUUGAUCCAUGGAUGCCAUAAAAACAAGGGAUAAAAAAAAAUUACCAUAAAGGUGGACAUAGCCAAAACUUUCGACACACUAUCAUGGGAAUUUCUUCCUUGAAGGUCUCCACAUCCCUCCUAAGUUCAUUUCAUGGCUCAAGGCCUGCAUAUGCACGACAAGCUUUAUGAUUGGCUAUAAUGGUACAGUCUCAGGUUAUUUUAAAUGCAAAAGAGGCUUAAGGCAAGGUGACCUACUGUCCUCUUACUUAUUUGUGAUCGCUAUGAACUGCCUAUCCUUUAUGCUAAACAAUGCAGCAGCUCAUGGGAACAUUUAGUACCAUUCCAAAUGUAGUAAGAUGAAACUAACACAUCUAUCAUUUGCCGACGACAUACUGAUUUUCAUAGAUGGGUCUUUGGAGUCGGUCCAAAAUGUGCUUCAUAUCCUCCAUGAAUUUGAGCAACGGUCUGGCUUGGCGGUCAGCUACCAAAAAACAAGUUUUUAUGGAUCAGGUCUGUCUCCUCAAGAAAUUGAAACGAUACAUGCAUCUACUGGAAUGUCUUGUGAGACUCUACAUGUCCGCUAUCUUGGAGUACCGCUCAAUUCAAAAAAAUUAAACCUUGCUAAUUGUGAGCUUCUCAUUCACCAGAUCAAGUCAAGACUCUUCUCUUGGUCAGUGAAUUCACUCUCCUUCUCAGGCAGGCUCCUCCUCAUUAAAACUGUGAUUGCGGGAAUCAUAACAUUUUGGUGUUCAGCCUUCAUCCUGCCAAAAGCGUGUGUUUAGCGUAUCAAAUCUAUGCGCAGUGUGUUCUUAUGGAAGGGAGUAUUGAUAGCCACAUCUCUGCAAGAAUGGCUUGGGAGACAGCAGAACUUACAAAAGAUCAGGGAGGCUUGGGGAUUAGGGACCUCCAAUCUUGGAAUAAAGCUUGCUGCUUAAAGCUGAUAUGGAUGUUGUUCUUUCGUGAUGGGUUUGUGUGGGUCGCUUGUUUCAAGGAGGUCAUUAUAAAAGGGUCCAUUCACAACUACUGGACAACUAAACCAAGCAGCUCCUACUCAUGGCUAGCCAACAAACUCCUCAAGCUAAAAGAUGAAAUCUUUCCACUCAUCAAAUUGCGGCUGGAGAAUGGUGUCUCUGCUAAAUUUUGGUUUGAUAACUGGACUCCCUUUGGAAGCCUUUCGACUUUCCUCAGUAACUCCUCGUCAAAAUUGGGUAUUCAUGAAAAAGCUUAUGUAGCCUCACAAUGUAAGAAUGGAAUUUGGCGGCUUCCACCUGCAAGAACAGAAGAACAAGUUCAAUUACAGACAUACUUCACUACCGUCACUCUCACUCAGGCUCAGGACUACUAUGAAUGGGAGCUGGAAGGUAAACCUACUCAGACUUAUAGCACCCGAGAUGUUUACACUUACUUGAGAGGAGAAAUCAAUUAUGUGAUUUGGUCUUCCUAUGAGAUCAAAAGACACAACUUCCUUGUUUGGUUGGUAAUCCAAAACCGAGGUCCAACUAAAGACAAAAUACUCGGAUGGAGCCUUCAGGUUUCGCCACUAUGUCUACUUUGCAACUCAACUAUGGAGUCUAUAAAUCAUCUCUACUACGACUGCCCAUUCAGCUUUGAUCUUUGGUCCUUGGCUACUUCACGGUGUAGGAUCACCCCCACUAGAGAUUGGAACGAUACAGUCUCUUAGAUGAUUGGACUAUCUAGAAGCAAAUCGAGGCGCCAUCAAACUCUCCUAACUCUCCUAGCUGGAUAUGGAAUGAAAGGAAUUCUCGUCUUCACUCCAAUGUAUAUCGAUCGGUCAAUACUAUCUUUGCAAUAUUUGAUCGUCAACUGAGAAACAAGAUUAUGAGCUUCAGAGCAUCUAAUUCGGUUCUCUCCUCAGCAAUGUUGCAAGCAUGGUUCUCAGUGGGUUAGACUUCUCUCCGUCGACGGAUUCAUCCUCUCCCACCUCUCAACCAUCGUGCUUUCCGUCACAAGAAAACUGAUUGUCUUUUCUAAUCUGGAUAUGUGGGCUUUUUUUCUGUUUACUUAAUGGGUCAUGAAUCAUUAAGAUUUCUUUAUUAUGAGUUUUAAGUCUGGGUUGAGCCCUGGUAACUAAAGUCAAAAGCUUGUAAACAAUUUUAUUUUAUUUUCAUUUAAUGAAAGCCUAAGUUACAGAAAAAGAAACACAUUCAUGUAUUUCAAUACAUAACAAAUGUACUGUAUUCCUUGACAAAAGAACAAAAGUAGAGUAAUUAUUUGCUAUUAUUACAUAUUAAGCAAAAAAUGUUUUGAGGAUUUGGAUUUGGGUUUGUCACAUGGAUACCCAGUUAACAGCCUGGGCCGAUUCAAAGAACUCAAAGUAAACCUGAGCCAAUUAUAUUAGACUUCACGGCCCAUUAUAUAAGCUUCUUCUGGUCUAGUGGAUGGUCUCAAUUCUCAAAAUAUUCGAGGAAAUGAGAAAAUGUAUAGCAUCCAGCCUUGGAAUGAGCACUAUUGCUGUAUAACAGACAUGUCAGGGAGAGUAGACCGCGUUUGUGGAGCCUACGAGUUUCUUAAAAGACUUGGUGAAGAAGGCAGGUGAAUGUAACUGAAUUUACACCUGACAAUUUCAUGUAAACUCCGUUACAAAAAAAAAAAAUUCAUGUAAACUUUUGUAAGAUAUAAUCAUAUAAACGUAAUAAUGUUACUUGCUUUGAAUUAAUAAAAAGUUAUUACAAACAACAAGCCAUUGGCCAAACUAUAACCAUAACCUUAUGAAUAUCAAAAAUAAAUUUUAUAAUGUAUUUAUUAGUGAGGUUGAACUUUAUAGUAGGGUUUUUAUUUUGGUUUGUAUAUGAUGAUCACAUUAGAUAUUACAACUACCAUAUGCAUGGAGAUUGAAAAUUGCAUGAACAACCUAAAAAAAAAACUUACUAGUCAUUAAACUCAACCACUAGUCGUCCACCACUAAAUAAACUCAUAAGAAAUAUAUUUAUACAUACAGUUGUAUAUUUUUUAUUAAACUACAAAAAGGUGAAAGAAUACUAGAAAGUUUGUUCCAGCCUAUCAUUUCAUGUGUGUUUAAAACCCUAUAUAAUGUGAAGAGACAUAAUUUAAUCAUAAUUAACAUUAAAAGUUAUAAAAUAUGAUUGAGAGUCUUGAGCUGUUUUGUUAAUUGUAAUUGGAAUUAAGCUCAAUAUGCAUAUUGAGGUUAAUGGGACUCGUAAUGUUUCUAGAUUCAUCCCCUCUUCCUAACCCAUUUCUCACUCGGUUUUAUCAUUUCUUCAAUGUUUGGCUUUUGUAUUAUACUGGCCAGACUCGAUAUCAACGUCAAAGACCCGUCUCAGGCAAAAUCGCAAUUACAGUUAUAACUGUAAUUAACAUCAGAGCUAAGGAAUUGAAAAGAAUAUAGAUAAACGAUAAUGAUCUUUAAUCUAGGCAUGUUUGUAGCCUAUACUACCUUCACCAAAAAUCUUCCUAGGCAAGUUUGAUUUCAACAUCAUCCCCAUAUUUAUUGUCAAAAGACUAUUCUGGUCUUUCAGAAAACUCUAUUAAAUAUAUUUCACUAAUCCAAAUUUUAGCAAUAAAAAACGAUUAAAGAAAAAAAAAGCCAAAUUAAUUUUGUGGAAGGAAAAAGGCCAAUCACAGUUUAUUUUCGACUACAACUCAUAUAUGAUAGAUAAUAUCAAACCAUUAUGCCAUAAAAAGAAGAAAAAUAUAAAGUUGUAACUUAUAUUUAUAAUUUAAAUUGAAAUUUUCAAAGGCUGGUUUCAAGAGGAUUCUUUUUAAAGGAAAAUUUAGAAUUCUCACAACCUUUAUUGAGCUAAUUUGGUAAAAUUGCAUUCACAUUAAGUUCGUGUUUGAGAAAAUGUCUACAAUCCAAUAAGAAUACAAAAGUUAGUGUAAGCUAAUUUGGUAAGCUAAUUAUGGAUUGAAAAUUUAGAAUUCUCACAACCUUUAUUGAGCUAAUUUAGUAAAAUUGCAUUCACAUUAAGUUCGAGUUUGAGAAAAUGUCUACAAUCCAAUAAGAAUACAAAAGUUAGUGUAAGCUAAUUUGGUAAGCUAAUUAUGGAUUGAAAAUUUAGAAUUCUCACAACCUUUAUUGAGCUAAUUUAGUAAAAUUGCAUUCACAUUAAGUUCGAGUUUGAGAAAAUGUCUACAAUCCAAUAAGAAUACAAAAGUUAGUGGCUAUUUGCCUCGUGCAUCCUCCAUUCAUAUGCACGUUUUAUAAAAGAAAUUAUGAAGUUACAACUGAUAUUCAUAUUUUCAAAUCUAUCGAACUAAUGGUAAAGCAGCCAAAAGCUACUUUCAUACUAAUUUCAUGUUUGAAUGUCUACACUCCAAUAAGAAUACAAAAUUGAACCUAGGCUAUUUGCCUCAUAUUUUCUGCAUUUUAUGCACGUUAUGUGUAUUAUUUCUAUGACUAAUAUUUGAGAAAUAUAUUUUUUCACAUGCAAUUGAUUUGAACUUCACGUGAGGAUAUUUCUAUUAAUCGCUAAGGUAUGUGAUAUAAAUAUUGGUGCGUAAGAACAUUUAUUUUAAUUUAGCUACGUCUAAUAGAAAUAUGGGCUCCAUAAUUUUUGUCCGAUAAUUUAUUUUGGUAGAAAAUAUACACAUUUAUUUGGGAAACACUAUUUUAUUUUUCUUAUUGCCAAUUUGGAAAUUUGAAUGCAAGCAAGUUCAGUCACUGAAUAUUCGCCUCUCUAGGACCAUGAUAACGCUACAACCUUACGCUUAAAACAAAGAUGAUAAAAAGCUUAAAUAUGAAAAUGAAAAAAAAAAAAACUUAAACAACAAAGGUGUACGAUUUCAUUAUUUGACAGAGAAAGUCAGACCUAACAUUUCUGCUUUUAAGCGAUAAUAUAUUGUUAAAACGAAUCCGAUCAUUUUCUCAUGGUAGCUUCGAAGAAGACGUAUUACUACUAGUCCCCUCCUUAGACGACGGAGCCGAACCUCCUCCUCCUCCACCAUCCGCCGGAGGAACUUGUUGGGAAGAUCCGGCGGAUGGAUCCGACCCGAAAGCUAUAGCGGAUGGAGAUACCGUGUACUGCUGAACCACGGCGCGGUAAUUGGCUAGAUCGGUGGUGAUUACUAUCGCUGGUGUAUUACGUGAGGCUCCUGAUCUUUUACGGCCUGUUUCUUGACUCGGACGUGAGUUCAUUUUGUUGUGUGUCUGUGAGAGUUUGUAAGAAAGAAAAGUGCAUUUGCCUUCGUUACUUAUUUGUUUAUUUAUAGGUUUUAUUUUGAUUCGACUUAGCCAGACGAAGACUAUUCUAAAUCAAUCGUGACUGUUAGUUGAGUUUUACCAACAAACUAUAAGAAUUAAGUUUGGUAAUUGGUAAUUGCCUACUUUCCCAACAAGUUUACGAAAUUGAUCCAUUUCACUCUAUGUAUUCUUCUAUUAAAGUAUUACGUAUAAUAAGUCCUUCACUUUACAUAAAACGUUACAAAGCUGACGACAUAUUUUCCUGAAAGUUCUUCUAACCAAAACUAGUGUGAAUCCUGAUCCUGACGUGUGAUACAAACUACAUCAUCGAUCGUUCUCUUUUUAUUAAUCAAAAACAGCCAAUGACCAAGCUUGGUGAUAAUCAAGCCCUAAUUAGAAAAUCACACACGAUAUUAAAGGAAAACUAAUAUUGGGAUCACAAGUGUGAAACAAUACAACAACAACAACAACAACAAAAGUAUAUACCUUCUUUCACUUAUCUCUUCACUUGUUGGCAUUUUCUUCCAUGCACUCUUAUUCAUCACACUUUUUAAAUAAAAAAUUAUACAAAAAAUAACGUACUAUAUAUACAAUCACAUUGGGAGGGCCAUGAGCAGCAUGGUCCGUUAUUUCAACAAAAGAAUUGUUUCACAAAAUUAUACCCCACAUGCCUUACUUGAAUAAUAAACUACUUACCACCAAUCCAUAUAAGGAAUCCACAGAGAAUCAUGGACAAAAAGGAUGGCUAACAUAAAUAACAGACAACAAUGAACACCAGACAAUGUACAAAAGCAACUCUCUCUAGUCUGAAACCCAUUCUGUUCUCCCAUGAUUGUGUCUCAGAAGCUGUGUAUGUACAGAAGCGAUGGGAGAGGGAUUUGGGGCUAUGCAAGAAGCCUUUGUUUUAUUGGGUCUGAGUUGCGUCUUCUCUGGUUUUGCGCAGAUGCUUGCGUGAGUUUUCCUGCUCCGAUGAUGGCUUUACCUGACCGUGAUCCUAAGGAUUUUCCUGCUCAAGAAUGAAUAUUCAAAGUUUAUACUUAAAAAGACAAUAGAUCAAAGAUCAAAUGUGUUGCUUCUUAGAUGAAUGUGACUUGUUCCAUGUCUAUUCAAAGACUAUUAUCUUAAUCAUUAUAAGAAGUUUCCUAGGCCUAGAGAAAGAGAUCUGACCACUGUUUGGUAGAGAUAACCGUUCCUUUGGAUUGCUGUGAGAUCUUGGACCAGCACCAUGUCUUCUUGAGUUAACUUCAACAGCAAGGUCGUCUUUAACAAGCUUUGACCUAGCCUUGGAUACCACUGGAAUGCUUCCAGGUGAAGAAGAAUCAUUAUCAGACAGAGAUGGCCUUGUUGCCUUGCCACUCGAAACACCGGAUACAAGAGUUGAAGUGUUUGGCAUCCUGCUUGCACUUUUCAUCUGUGUUCUAUGCACAUUCUCACACUGCUCCAUACUGUUUAAGUUUGCAUCCUCUCUGAGGGUACUACUGUCAAGAAACCGAUUCUCCCAUGGACGAACAGCCAUCCAUCUCUCCAGCCAGUUCCAUCCCCAGUUGUUUUUGUCAGGUUGAAAUCCACUGUGCGUAGACAACUGCCUAGUUCCUGCUUGCCACUACAAGACAGAUUUUUUUUUUUUUUUGAAUGAAUGUUAAAUUUAUUCGAUUCAAAAACGUUGUUACAAAGAAUGCAGCUUUACUUCUAUCAGAAAUGGCUAAUAAACUGAAUUUACAAUUGAGAAAUCUGAUUAAUUUGUGUGGUAAGAAAACCAGACUGACAUUGCUCCUUCGUAUCCUUUUCUUCCGGUAUGUUGAAUUGUGGAGAUCUUAUUACGAAUGAUUUGUCAUUCAUAUGCUGCAAUCUACUGGCAGGUUGGUGAUGCUCCCCAUGCUUCCUACGGUUUCUCUCCCUCCAAACCGAGUAAGAGAAAGAAAGAUCCUUAACUAGCAUAGAGGUUGUGAGUAACCUGGUGAGUCAAAGCAUAAGCCAUAGCCCUCUCACGCUUAUCUGCACCUUCCUGCCUCUUUAUCAGCUUUGCUUGGAUUUGUUCAACUGAUCCAAUGCUAUCACACCAACCUUCCUGAUAGAUGAAAAGACAUUGUCAACACAAGUCUAUAACUCUCUCAACAAAAAAUUAAAGUGAUUAUCACCACUAUUUCUCGGACUCUGGCUUCAUCUGCUACCUGCUGCUGAAGUGUCUGCUGACCCGUUUCACAUUCCAAGGAGAGACGAACACGUCUUGCACGUACACGAGCCUAACGCUUGCAUGCACCGAAGCGUUACAGCUGCUUGUUUUCUCACAAUGUGCCCUCUAAUAAGGGCUUGAAGUCUAACCAAACCCUUCAACGCUCUUAAAGCCCUUCUAGCCUAAAAAAAUACAUCAUCCAUAGAGUAGAAAGCAAAACAAUAACAGAUUAUAGGACUUAACAAGGCUAAUAUUGAUACCAGAAAGGCUCGAAAAGCUUAUUGGAUGCGCGUUGCAGCCAUAUAUAUGAUCCUUCCUUUGUUCUUCAUAAGCUGCACUAUAUGAUUGUAGUUAAGUUGAAUUAGAGACUCCAGCCUCUAUCACACUAUGCACAGUAUUUAAAUCUUCAAGUCCAUCUUGGAACUUUUCAGCAUCAAAAUCAACUGAAUGCUUUCUCCCAAACCUGGUCUUGGUAGGAAUCUUGUUUGUGAUUUGGAGAGAAUAAGAGUAAAGAAGGAUUUUAAUUUCCUUAUUUCUUUAGGUUCUUCAUACACUUACAUACGUAGAGUUGUUGGGAUUGAUGCAUGAUCUUAUGAAGUCUUGCCAACUCUUACUUUCAAUAUUCUCUUCAUUUCUUCAUGUCAAUAUUUAGUGGUGGGAACCAAUCCUCUCAUCUACUAACUAAUGAUCUUAUGACAUAAACCACUCGACCAACUAGACUUUUCACAAAACUUCUAACGUUUCCUUUCUCAUAAAAGAGGCUGCACGCAAAUGCUAUCUUCAAAGCCUGUGCAACAAAUGAUGCUAUAGAGAAAACAUAUCAUGUAUGUGGUGGAUCAGGAUUAUACCUAACUUUAGAACUGUAAUUGAGAAAAUGUCAGUAAAACACACAUGUGUGGCUAUGGAAUCAACUACUUUAUUUUACCGAAAAACAUAGUUCUUCAAAUACAGAGAAACAUAAAACAUAUAGCGAAUGAGAAACACACAUUAAUGAUAAACAAGAAACAACAAAUAAAACUUAAACUGUUAUAGUCCGAUCCAUCGACAUACAAACACAAAUAAAAUAUUUUGAAUUAGCUGAAAUGAUAUCAGCCCAACCUUCUUUCUCUGCAGGCCGUCUGGUUUGGUUGCUUGAAUUUAUUCUUCUAGAUUCUUCGCCUUAUAUUUUAAAAGGUAUGGAAAAAGAGAAACAUCAGAUACAUUAAUCUCAGUUAUUCAUUCAUGGUGACAGUUCUACUAUAAUAUAACUUUUUAAAAUUCAGAACAUCACCUCUUCAAUGAGUUGUGGUGUCUGCGUUUGUUUGGGACAAAAGCUUUCAUGAACCACUCUGGUUUGUAGGAAACCAGUAUGUAUCCCAUCGUCAAUCCAAAGAAAACACCUGGUACAAAUCCUAUUGCAGCUGCUAUCCAACUCAGCACCUCUUCUUCAUCUUCAUCUUCAUCUGGAUCUGGCGUUUCAGAUUGUUGACAUGUUGUCGCGUGGAUACAACCACAAACUUGAUCAAGUGAAGGACCAUACAGUCCCGGGUUGUCCUCGAAAGAAGAACAAGGCUGCGUCAGAAACUGAGUUCCCCCUGGCACUAGACCUAUAAGCUGGUUAUGAGAGAAGUUCAUGUAAGCAAGGAACGAGAGGCUCCCAAGCUCUUGUGGAAUCUCUCCUGAAAGAUUGUUUUGCGAAACAUCCAGUGACUCAAGCUCUGCCAGGUUUCCCAGUGAUGAUGGGAUGUGGCCAGUGAAAGCAUUGUUUGAAAAGUUGAGCACAUGAAGCUCUUUCAAUAGACCAAUGGACCUUGGAAUCUCUCCUUCAAAUUUGUUCCCAGAGAAGUCGACUGCUGUGAAGAUUUUUAAGAUACGUUCCAGAUUCCUUUCUACACCUUUAUUAACCAUAACCACUGAAUCAGAAUAAUAAUUUGUACCCAUGUACCUCUCUGCAUAUCUAUCUUCUUUCUUUUCAAUGGAAUACAUUGCCGUCCAAUUAACGAAGAAGUCCGAUGACAAAGUUCCAUUGAAGUGAUUGUGGUUUAUGUCGAUGAUCCGUAACUUAGAAAACGGAGUUUGAUGUAUUAUUGGACCAUGAAAUGCGUUGGAGCGAAGGACAAGAACCUGUAACUCCGGCAGAGACCUCAACCAGAAAGGAAACGUGUCACUGAUUUUGUUGAUCUCCACAUUCAGAACUUGAAGAAAAUGGAUACGGAUGAAUGAUCUUGGAAGCUUUCCCACCAGACGGUUAUGACCGACGUCAAGCUACACUAGACUUUGAGACAUAUUCUCUGGAAUAUCUCCACUAAGAUGAUUUUGUCUAACAUUUAGAACUUCAAGACUUCUGCUAAAAUUUCCCAGACAGCUAGGGAAUGAGCCACUGAAUUUGUUGUUAGACAAAUCGAGAGUGGUUAGAGAGCGCAACUCACAUAUGAAACUAGGGAUCUUGCCCGUGAAAUUGUUGUUGGCGCCAGACAAGUAACUCAGAGAUGUUUUCCGGACAUAAGAUAUCCCAUGUUUCGUUGGGCUUUCAAAACCAAUCAAUGUGUUGUUGGAAGUACUCACGUAUUCAAUAAUUGGAAGCUCCCAUAACCAUCCAGGCACUUGACCUGUGAUUUUGUUGUUAGAAAUGUCUAGUGUUUUCAUGUUGCGUUGGGUUCGUAAGAGCUCCGGAAACUCGAAGAUACCGCAUCCUGACAAGUUCAACUCACCUAAUAAUGGAGGAUCUGAAACCAAGCUACUGUUCUCAGUUGAAACAUGGUUUCCCGAAAGAUCCAGUGUAUGAAGUGACUUCAAAUAUGGUAAGAUUGCAUUCAAGACAAGUGUAGUGGUGGUGUUCAAAUGGGAGAGGGAAAGAGAGUAUAGGGACUUCAGAUGCCAGAAGAUGCUAAGGUCAACAACUGAACCUUGGGUGUUGAGAUGAGAAAGAUCAAGUGUGUCAAGGUUGACCAACUUGGAGAUGGAUCGGGGGAUUGAUCCCAUGAAGUUGUUAUCGCCAAGGCUUAAAUCUUCUAUCCUAGAUGAUUCAGAUAUAUUACCAAGCUCAAGAGUGCCGUUGAGCUGGUUAUUUGACAAAUCAAUAUAAGUUAAAGAAGGAAUGGUAAAGAGAGAAGAAGAAGGGAUAGGUCCAGUAAAAGUGUUGUGUUCUACGUAAAAGAACUCCAAGUUGGAGAGUGAGCCCAUGUUAGGUGGAAGCAUGCCCGAGAAUUGAUUUCCGCUGAUUGAUAUGGAAAUCAGCUUUGUUAGAUUUAGUAGUUUAAGAGGAAAGUUACCAUGAAGGAUGUUGUUUCCAACAUCCAUGUCAGUGAGAUGAUCCGAACUGCCAAAAAAAGAUGAGAUUUCACCAACGAAAUUGUUUUGUGAGAGGUCGAGAACAGUGAGAUGUGAAAGGUUUCCAAAUGAAGAUGGAAAUUCACCAACAAAGUUGUUAGCACAAAGGAUAAGCUCAGUGAGAUUCAAAAGAUUUCCAAGUGAAGAUGGAACUUUACCAGUAAAUUUGUUUUGGGAGAGAUUAUUAAGAGUGGUGAGCUUAGAGAGGUUUCCAAGUGAAGAUGGAAUUUCACCACUGAAAUCAUUACCUGAAAGGUCAAGAGUGGUUAGCUUUGAAAGGUUUCCAAGUGAAGAUGGAAUAUUACCACUGAGCUCAUUACUUGAAAGGUCGAGAGUUGUUAAAAAAGGAAGCCUCUGAAGCAGAAAGAUAGUACUGUUGGAAUUGAACUGACCAUGGAGGCAACUGUCACUAAGGUUCAGCUUGAUCACAUCCCCGAAACUGGCAUCACAUCUGAUACCGUCCCAUGAACAACAAUCGCUGUUAUUCUCCCAUGACUUUAGACGUCGGUCAAGACAAGGCUUUUGAAUCUGGAAUUUGUUCUUGAAAUCCAGAAUCGCAUCCCUUUGGUCAGGAUGACACAAGUGUCUAGCAGGAUCCACAAACACAUCUCGAAAUAAAAAGAGAAAAGAAAUAAAAACAGAGAAGAGACUGAUUGAGUUCUCAUAGUCAUUCAUCUUCUUUACUUUCUUAUCGGUAGUUAUAAUAAAGAAAACAGUUUCAUGUUUCCAUCAGCUUGACUGACUAACGAGUCUUUCUACUAAACACGUUGAAAGUAUUUUUCAAUCUCCCCAUUUGGAAUUUCCACCAGAUUUAUACUUCCCCAGUUUAUCAUUUCUUAACAUGUCCGCAUGAUUUUGUUGACAAGUGAUCCAUAAUCAUGUAACACACUCAAUUGUGUUCUGCUAGAGACGAAUAGUCAAAGUCUAUCAAAAAUGUAUUCUCCUAGACGAAUAGUCAAACUCUAGCAGAGAUAAUCAACCUUCCCCCAUCUUCUAUAUUAAUUGAGAAGUCACUUAACUGAUGUGUACAAACAGUUACUUUAAAAUUGUUUUAACGUGUUUGGUCGAUUUUUUUUAUUUUUAUUUACUUAAAAUACAUUGCAAAACAAGUUAAAGAAAUAAACCAAAAAAGAGUUAGGCUUUUAUUGUUCACCUAACCACGCCAUCUUUCUCGAGUUCUCAUUAUGAUCCCACAAGUAGCAUGUCACUGUGGAUUGAAUCCGCUUGCAGAGCGAAACUGGCAGGCUGAAGCAAGACAUGGGGUAUGAGAGAAUGGCUGAGAGGACAAUUUGAAGCAUGACAAAUUUUUCUGCUGCAGAGAGAAAUUUGUUGGUCCAUCCCCUCGCUUUCUGCUCAAUCCGGUCUAAAAUUAAGGAGAAGAGAUCCCUCUUACGCCUCCCGAAGUGUUCGGGCAAAGCCCAAGUAUUUCUCCACACCACCUUCACUUUGGAUCUGCAACACAUCUUUAACCAUUGUUUUCAGCGAGGCUGGCGCUUUCCGGGAAAAUGAGAUAGCAGAUUUGUCUUUAUUUAUUGACUGCCCAGACACGUGUUUGUAUUUUCUCAAAAUGGACUUAAGGGCUGCACAAUUCUCCUUAUCGGCCUGGAGGAAGAACAUUGUAUCAUCCGCAAAAAAAAAGGUGAAUUAAUCGAGGACUGCCUCUAGCCACUUUCAAACUUUGAAGUAGGCCUUCUUCUUGCACUUUGUUACAUAAUCUCGAAAGAAUUUUACUACACAUAAUGAAUAUGUAGGGUGAAAGAGGAUCACCUUGACAGAUUACUCUGCUCGGUAUUAUGUUCUCUCUAGGCAAACUAUUAAUGAAGGAGUAUUUAAUAGAAGUGAUACAAUGCAUUAUGCAUCUGAUCAAGUUUUGGUGGAAUCCCAACCGGUUUAAAACUAACGUGAUAUCUCUACUUUGAUCAUGAUUACAGUAUACAAGUUAUAGGGUAAUUUAAUUUUCAUGUACCAAAAAUUUGAAAAACCUUUUUCUCUUAACCAUUUUCACAAUUAAAACUUAAACUUACAUAUUCGUACAAUUACAAACUUAAAAUUACACAACUCAAAUUUUGACUCUAGAUUACAUGACAAUUUCACCUGACGUAGACCUUAUUUAAUUUAAAAGGAGUCCCAAUCCUACAAGAGAAAUCAACAAAAUCAGACGAGAAAAAAAGAAGAAAAAGAAAACCAAAAAAGCAUACAAGUAAAAGCCAGGAACGACAUAAAAUGCGAUGCACAUAUAUUCAUAUUCCUCUGAGAGGUUUUACCCUUGAAUCUGUUCUUAUUAUAGCCACGAAAUAGCAAGAAAUGUUUCACGUUGGCAUUGAUAUGUCAUACGUGCAUGGGCAUAUUUUGCAUACGAAUCAAACCAAGGUAAUUUUUAGAUGGUGAGGUUUUCUUUGAUCACAAAGCCUGUGUCUAUAAUCCUGCCACCAAGACCUGGGAAUGUCUCGCAUCCAGGAAGAGAACUCACUUUGCCUGCCCUAUCGACUUGAACGGGAUACUUUAGAAGAUGACUUGUCAUCUCUGUGACUUCCUCUGCUGCAUACUGUCUCCAGUUAAGCUCACUCAAUCUCCUAACUCGUCUCACGCAUUCCAUGUUCUCUGGAUUUUCGAAACCUUUCUCUAGAGACCCUAGAUGUUCCGCCCACAGCGACAUUCUGUAUCCAAAGAUCUGCAAGAAAUAGGGAAAUAUGCAACAAAACCAUGUUUUAGAGGAGCAAGAUUUGUAAAUUGGUGACUGUGAUCUCAAACUUUCCUAAUUAUAAGGAAAUAUAUUCUAGGAGAUCUCAUAAUCCCCGAGAUCUCAUAAUAGACUGUGGUGGCUACUAAAGCUCCAAGCCUGUGAAGCCGAAGGAAACACUCUCUAAAACAGAUUGGUGGGUUUCUGGUUUUUAGUUAUUUGAAUGCAAACUCAGAUUGAAAUUUUAUUACCUGCCCACGAGGAUGAGAACCUUUCUUAGCCCAUGAGUGGUGUGGUUGAUAUCCUCCCAUUGCGAUUUCAGUGUCUCUAGAUCCUUCCAGGGAUCUCUCGUUGAUAUUCGCAGAACCAAUUAAGACAAACUCAUCGUCCACUAUCAUACCUUUGGAAUGAACAUAUAUCAUGAAUCUUCGACUCUUCAAAGCUUCCACCUGGUUUAUUUUGUUGUUUUAGUGAGAAAAAUGUUAUUAAAGCGAAGACUUCAACAAUCUAUAUGCAUAUACCUGUGGGCCAUCUUCUUCCUUUGUGUUGUUGUUAACGUUUCCAUCAGCAACCUCUCUGGUUCCAAGACAGAAGAAGUUCAAAUAGUCUUGUGGCUCAUACUGACCAUCAAGUUCAGCUUCCACAAGUGCCUUGUAGAUAGUUAGAUACAUCAUUUGCAUGGUUUUAUACUGCAGAAAUGAUGAAAAGAUUCCAGUGUAAAGGAUGCGAGAUUGUUAUUCAAGUCAGUUAAUAUUUAGCAAACUAAGUAUUUACCUGAUAUUGUAAAAUGCUCUGCGUAACGAUACCCGUUGGAUCACCUUCUGGCAGCAUUGGAAUGACAAUAUAAGCAGCAAAAUUUUCUCUUGCUCUAAUUUUAUUAGCAAUCUUAAGCGCAAUUUCCAUAGGGAUUAGAUUAUUAGCACCUGCAUUUCAAGAAACUCCUUGUUAUAGUAUUAUUGCACGAGUUGACUGAAUUGCCUUCAAAGCUAACAAUUUUCUUACCAACGAUUUUAUGUGAAUCCCAGUUAAAUGAUGAUCCAAAAAAAUAUUGGUUCUCAAUGUAAAUGAAAUGCUGAGCAGAUCUUAUGGCCUUAACAUAAGCCGUGUGUAUGCUCAUGUCUAUAAGUAUAUUCUUCCCACAUUGAAGAUUCUGUUGACAUCUUAAUAAUCAUCAGUAAAUAGCUACAUUGGUGGUGACUGAAGAUGACAAGUUUAAAAAUGUUCAGAAUUGUGCUUACCCUUGCACUAGCUUCCUUUGAGUCCUCUGGAAACCCUUUGACUGAGGUUGAAUCAAUGGACCGAAAAACCUAAAUAAAUAGUAAAAAAAAAAAUUAAUAAUAUGGGGACUAUUAUUAAUAUAUAGUUACUAUUUUACAAUUUUACAAUUUUUUUUGAGUUAUACAUUUUUGAAGUAUAUAUAUAUAAGAAUAAGAAGAAGGAUUUAUUUUACUGUUGAUAUACUGAUUAAAUCUAUACUAUUAUUUGCGAAGUAAAUUUUUGAAACGGAGCUCUCACGUUAAAAGUUAGAGCGGUUAAUAUCGUUUAUACCCUUAAUGAAUAUCUAUAUAAAUUAGUCAAAAAAAAAAUAAAAAAACGAAUUUCAAAUCAAUCUGAUUAAAAAAGUGAUUAAAAUUAAUAAUAAAUCGUUUAUACCCUUAAUGAAUAAAUGAUAUAAAUUAGUCAAAAAUAAAAGCAAAUUUAAAAUAUAUCUGAUUAAAUAAGUGAUUAAAAUUAAUAAUAAUAAGAACUAUCUGAAAUAUAAAUAAUUAAAAACAAAUUUCUAUUAAUACUAUUAUAUUUAUAUAUUUAUAUUUAGAUAAUUGACUAUAAAUAAAUAUCAUAAAAUUUUUAAAAAUAAAAACAUGUUUUAAAACAUAAGAUAAUUCUUAGAUAUAUUCUGUUGUUAUCUGAAAAUAAUAUUUUAUUAUAAAAUUUAUAGUUAGAAAUAAAACAAUUUAUAAUUAAAUGCUAAUUAAAUAAAUAUAUUUUCUAAAAUAUAUGUGAAUGUUUUUAGGGAAAUUGUCACAAAUAGCACAUUCAUAGUACCACUUUUCAUGUUUACACUAACCACUUUUACCAUCACUUUUGAAUGAAGGGUAAAAGACAAUUUUUCCCUUAGGGUUAACUAAUCUAGACUUAGAGCAUCUCCAACUCCACUCCAUAUUUUACUCCAAAAUAUAAAAAAUGGAAUGGGAAACGGAGUGAUGAACAAAAAAUAAAAGCAUUACUCUAUAAAUGGAGUAAUCCUUUUAUUUUUUUUGUUCAUUACUCCAUUUUCCACUCCAUUUUCUCAAUUUUGGAGUAAAAUAUGGAGUGGGGUUGGAGAUGCUCUUAGGGUUUAGAGUUGAGGGGUGGGGUAGGGUUUUUGGAGUGUGAAAUUUAGGAUUCUAAUAAAUAUAUAAAUAAAUACUUAAAAAAUAUAUAAAAAAUUUUAAAAAAUAGUUUCAAAAUAAUUUUUCGUUUUUCAAAAAGAAAUUUGAAAAAAAAUAAAAAAAAAUUAGAAAAUAAAAAUUUCAAAAAAGAAAAAUUUAUAAAAAAGCUCGAAUUUGAAAAAGUAUAAUUCGUAAACAAAUUUAUUUUUAUUUAAAUAAUUAUUUAUUAUAUAUAUAAAUAACAAGGGCAUAAGAGUUUUUUGCCACUUAAUGAAGAAUGUAUUUUUGAAAAUGUCUCUUUAGUGGUGGUAAAAAUGAAAAGUGCUACCAUGAAAGUGGUAAACAUGUAAUUUUUCCAUGUUUUUAAAAUUUAACACAACAAUAAGCAUAUUUAUAUUUUUCAUAAAAACUAAUGAAUAUAUAUUAAUAAUAUUUUAUUUAUAUGUUAUAUUUGAUAAUUGAUUAUAAGUAAAUAUAAUAAAAUUUUCAUAAAUAAAAUAUAUUUUUAAAACAUAAGAUAAUUUUUAAAUAUUUUGUUUUUUUACCUGAAAUAAUAUUUUUUACUAUAAAAUGUAAAGUUUAAUGUUUGAUUUAUCUUUUUAAAAACACAAUUAAUAAUUUAUUAUGUUGGUUUUGAUUUAAUAGUUAUAAACAGACAAAUAUCUAUAAGAACACUAUGCCCACAUGUGCGGGUAGAACACCUAGUAUUAUAUUAUUAUUAUGCGAUUAAUUGGUGUAUAUGAGAUACGUAUAGUAAAUGUGGAUGUAUUUUAGAUGUCAUAUGAGAAAAUCACAUCAAAAUAUUUUAAGUGGUUAUAAAAAUUAAUAUGAAUUGAACUGUGAAUAAGAAAAAAAACAAAUACAAUGUUUUAUUUAUAUUUAUAUUUAUAUAAAUAAUAUAUAUAUAUAUAUAUAUUAAUUAUGUUAAAAUUAGACAAUAUAUUUGCAUAAAGUUUUUUAAAAAAUUACUUUAUUUCCAGAUAACAAUACAAUAUAAAGAGUUAUCUUAUUUUUUUAAUAUGUUUUUAUGCGAAAAAUUUAUCAUAUUAAUUUAUAAUCAAUUAUCUAAUAUAACUUAUAAAUAUAAUAUGGUUAAUAUAAAUUAUUUUUAUCAUAUUAAUUUAUAAUCAAGUGUAUUAUUUGCACUUGUCUAAUUCGGAACUUGUGAAAUUUAUUAAUUUAUCGAGUAUUAAUUUAUUAAGUUAAAUUAGUUCAUUGGAAAAGAAAUUAGAUUUAUCCUUUUGCCACCACCACAUAUGGCUACAGUCCCCUCAUAUUUCUCAAUUACCUGAACAUGCCAAGACUCUGGAUCAUUAUCAUCAACAAAAGAAGCUUCUGAUAGUCCCAUGAUAUUUGGAAUUCUGUCAAUCUUAAGCAAAGCAUCCUCAGAAGACGAUCUGUGUAUCGAAAUCCUGUGCCUUUUCUCUGAAGCCUUUAGCCAACGUUGUUCAAAAUUAGCAAGCACGUCAUACGCUGCUGGACCGUCAAUCAUGCUGUGCAGAUCAUGCCACGGUUGUCUUGGUCCAUCAUCCUCAGUAGUCUAAUACGGAAAAAGAAGUUUCUUUACACUGAUCAAAAAUAGUAGCAAAACUGAACCAAACAAGAAUUGUCUUGAAUGGUUACCCCAAAACAAUUGUUAUAGAAAUCAUCUUUAUGAAGAGUCUUUAAUGUCGUAAAGAGAGGAUGCUUAGGCGUAUCAAAACGUCCUUUGCACACGUCUAUCCCUCCAACAAACGCUACGAUCUUUCUUCGACCCUGAGCUGCCUCAGCAUCUACAAUCACAGUUUUCUGAUGAUGUGUGUAGAUAGUUUGAACUUCCUGAUCAUCACAAUGAGGUUCAGAGGAUUAAACUAUACAUACAAGAGUUUAAGCAGUGAUGCAGUAAUUAUUGAGCAUCUUACAGUUUUUUUUACAAAGCUAUGAAGACCUCUUCCCCCAGAUCUAGGACAAAUAAUAACUUGCACCGACGAGUUCCUAAAAUAAUGGCGAGUCUCCUCAUCGCUUGUCUUCAUAUAUCCGCGCUGCAUACCACAAGCAAUUCGUGAAAACAACAAAAGGUUUGUGUAACAGACAUCAUGUGAGAUUGGUCUAGUGUUGUAACUUGUAGAAGACGUUAAUAUUAUAUAACCCUUUUCAUCUAUCCAGUUUCAAUCUACUAUUAUUAUAGUUUACAAGAGAUAUGAUUAAGAAAAGAUAGACUGUUAAGAGAAAAACAAUACAUAGUUAGGCACCACUUACUGUUCUGUACCCCAGAAAGCUCCAUGAAAUUGGAUCAUCCCACACCAAUAGCAACACUCUAACACCUUCUUGAGAUCUUUCUUUAAGCAAAUCCCCUAAUGUACCAUCGGUCGGAUCAUUAUUGCGACGAACCAGCCUAACCGGAUGGUAAACUGACCAACCUGUGAUAUAAAUCAAGUUCUUUGCCUGUCUAAUCGCAUCAGCCAUAUCCUCCCAGCACUUUCCAUGUAUAUACUUCAUCCCACCAUCGAGAUCUACACUCGGAAGUGUCCCGUCUUCAACAUGGGCAUCUUGAUACAGAGUAACUCUACCGCCUUUCCUCAAAGGGAAGUAUGUACCGGGAACUCCUUCGCACUCAUUACCAACACCCAUUUGGUAAAAUUUCAUCAUUUCCACUGGAGUGUAUUGAAUAGCCAAACUCAACACAGCACCCUUUUUACAUGGCUUCCCACUACUAUCAAGUAUCGGAAACAGCCCUUCGAUCGUGUUUCCUGAACAUAACUCCUCGGUUGGGAUUCCAACAUCUCCUAUGAACUUUGCUCCAAAACGGUCACUGUCUUUCACCACAAACUUUACCACCUUAGCAUGGUGAGCCACCGGUACAUAGAAAUGCUGCUUCCACACAGGAUUCUCAUCGUUGUCGACCACAAAAGUUGUGCCAAUCUUUGCACCUGCGAUAGAGACAGUCACGAAGGGAUCACUUGUACUGUUCUUCUUGUACCUCCGAAAACGAUCCAUGUUAGGAAGAUUUUUAGCUUCCUUCACCCAAACGUCUAAGUUACCAUGUAACAACACUAAUCUCAAAGAACCGUUACUUGACCCUUCCAUUGACAUGAGUCUCGGUAUAAACCGAAUGAUGCGUCAAGAAAAAGCGGAAAAAGUACUAAAUAAGAAAAAGGAUCAAAUGUCGAGCCCAACCCACAAAAGAAAAAAAUCUUUCAGCAAGACCUUUGAGAUACAGUUUCAGAACAAUCUUGAGUUCUAAGUAGACGAAUCAAGCAGUGCGCUCGUAAUAUAAGGUUUGUGUUAUCAGCCGUACAUUGUUGACCGUUCAAAUUUUAGCCAUUGACACACUUCAACCGUGGUCCAGGCUUUCAAUAAAACCUUCCUUAAAUCGUAUGGGGACAAGACAGUGAAUGCAAAUUAUCAGUAGAAACAAACUUUCGAGACUUAGAAAUACGUUGACUUGGCCGGAUAUUUGGAGUUGACCUCAAGGUCAAGAAAAUAAUCUAUACUAUUAAUUGCUAAUUGAUUUUUUUGCAAAGAAACUCUCAAUUUAAAAGUUAGAAUUAUUAAUGAAUUAUUAUAUUUAUUUAAUUUUAUAUAAUUGAUCAUAAAAUUAACUACGAUAAAAAAAUUUUUUAAAAAAAGAUGCAGCAUCAAUGGUAACUAAAUCGAACAUUAAAUUAAUACAUGCAUUAAAUUCAAAUCAAAAGAUAUUAAGACAACUUAUCUGCAUAUUUAAAAAAGAGAAAAACAAUGUAUAGGAUAAUUUUGGUCAGUUUAGGCGUUUGUUUGGUUUUCAUCAUUAAUUAUAUAAUUUAUCAUACGAAUAUAAUUAAAACCACUCAAAAAACGUUUUUAGUAAUUAUUUUGUUUGCAAAUAUUUUGAUAAUAGUUUGCACACAUGCAUUAAUCAAAUCCCUUCGUUUCUUUACAAAAAAAAUAAUUUCUUAAACUUCAUACUUUUGUAAAGCUUAUACAUACAAAAAAUCUAUACUAUUAUUUACGAAAUAAUUUUCGCAACGAAUCUCUCACGUUAAAAGUUAGAAUGGUUAAAGUCGAUGCUACCUUUAAUGAAUUAUUAUAUUUAUUUAAUUUUAUAUAAUUUAUCAUAAAAUUAACUACAAUAAAACAAAUUUCCAAAAAAAAAAGAUGCAGCAUCAAUGGUAACUAAAUCGAACAUUAAAUUAAUCCCUCUAUAUAUUAAUUGAGAAGUCACUUAAGUGAUUUCUGCUGAUGUGUCGCUCAUAGGAGAGUUCUCCAAUUAAUUGUUAUAAUUUGAUUGGUUAAUAGUUUUUAAUUUUUUUUUAUUUAAUUAAAGUUUUUAAAGAAAAACUAACCUUAGAAUUACCUAAUCUAAUAUAUGUUUCCAAAUAUACAAUUAAACAUCUUAAAUAUAGAUGAAUUAAUAUAAUUUAUUUAUAGACACAAUUAAAUAUCAUAGAUUAUAAUAUAUAAAUUGAUGAUGUACAUUUAAAUACAUAUGAUAUUACAGAAACAAUUAUAAAAACGGAUUUAAAUUUAUAUUAGUAGUGAAUACAAUAAAUCAUAGAUUCUAAAAAAACUAAUUAAUGUAAACCUAAUAAUAUUAAUUCUAAAAUGUUUCAAAUGAAAUCAAAACAGUCAAAUAUAUAAUUUUAAAAAAUUCUCAUCAUUUUCCAAUGACAAUGUGAUAUCAUAGAUAAGUUAUCACUUUUAGAAAUGAUUAAAAUAUUUUUAUAUUUUAAAACAUAAAAAUUAUAUGGUAAGUCAUUUAAAAUUAUAUUAAUCAAGAAAUUUUAUUUAAUUCAUCUACUAAUAUAAACAGAUGAAUUAAAAUUAUUAUAUGGCAAGUCACAUAAAAUUAUAUUAUAUGGUAAUUCAUCUAAAUUUAUUAUAUAGUAACUCAUUUACAUUAUAUUAAUCAAAGUAUUUUUCACAUGCUUUUCCUAGAGUAAAUACUCUAUUAAUAUAAUUCAUAUAGCUUGGAUUAUAAUAAAAUUAGCAAGAUUGUUUUGAAUAGUAAAAAAAAUAAAGGAGACAUAAAUAAAAAAAACAUGAGGGAAGAAUAAUAAAAUAUGUUUGUUGUGUUCUUGGUUCUUUAUAUUCUUAUGUAUUUAAUUUUAAUUAUUUUUCGAGAUGCAUGUAUUUUUUGUGUUACUAUAAAUGUGAACUAAUUAAUUUUAUGUGUUUUUAAAACAUUUUGAUAAAUUGAGUUAGAAAGAUCAAUAAAAAUGACAUGUUUUUCAAUUGUUAAAGUCAAAGAUAGAAAAUAUAAUGUAAUUUGCAAGUAGGAUAAAUUAUUUAAAAAUACGAGAUGUAUAUUUUGCGGUAUAAUAAACUUUUAAAAUGUACAAUAAUAAAAUUUUAACAAAUUUUAUACAAAUAAAAAUAUUUUAUUUUGAUAUAAUAUCUGAUCUCACAUUAAUAUUAAGUAUAUAUGCCUAAAAUGACAACCUUUCUUCAUUUAAAAAUUAAAAUUUAUGUUUUCUUAUUAAUUAAGUAGAUUAAAUUAAAAUAGGUAUGUUUUAAAGGAAGAAAUGGUUUGAUCAAACCAUUUAAGUUUAUGUUAAACACUAAAUAAAAAAUGAGUGAAAAAGUGUGAAUUGUGAUUUGAAAAAAUUAUAAGAGAAAUUACUUAGACUACCAUUUUCAUAAUACAAGUUUUCAUGUUUAUAUUAACCAAAUUUAUCCUAGGUUUUAAAGAGGUAAAUCAUACUAAAUAUUAAUUGAGAAGUCACUUGAGUGAUUUUUCUUAUGUAUUGUUAAAAGGUUAAGUUUUAAAAAAUAGUUAUAAUUUGAUUGGUUGUUGACAUUUAUUAGUUAUUUAUUUUAAUCAGAUCUAAAAAUAAAAGGUAACUAUAGAACUAAUUAAUAUAAAUUACCAAAUAACACAAGUAAUAUUACAAAUAAUGAUUUAUGGUAACUAACUGUAGAAUUGGAGAAAUAAUAUAUAUGUUUUAUCAACUUCUUUUUUCUUUAUCAAUUAUUUAUAUAUAAUUAAAUAAAAUAGUUUAACUUUUUUUAUUGAAAGAAAUUUAAUAGUUAUAUAUUCUUAUAUAAAAAAUAGAUUUGUAGGUAAAGAAUUGUUAGAACUUUUUAUGUUUUCUACAGUCCACACAGAAACGUUUACAAAAUAUAUUCAUAAUAAAAGCAUCCGAUCAUUGUAUUGGUCCUACACACAAAAAAACUCUUUUUUUUUAUUUCUUGAAGACUAGAGUAUCCAGGUUUUAUUAGGUGUUAAAAUAAAAUAUAAAGUAAUUCUACAACCAAUUAUCUGAAUUAGUUAUAAUAUUACUUUUCUGUAAGAGAAAUAUUAGUAAUGAUUAAGGUUAACAUUGUUGAAUUUUUUUAAAUAUCACAGAUCUUCUAAUAAUACAUAUGUUCGUUAAACGAACGCUGCCACACCGACUACAGAUCAAAAUUUAGAAGGAAAAAAGAGUAUUCAAAAAGAAAGAGAGAAGAACAGAUGACACGCGUCUCUGUUUUCAGUCGCAGAGAAGAGAGAGAAAUGAAGAACAAUGGUCGCUACUUUUUUGACGUCAGCGGUAACACCGGAAAGCUUCGCUUUUUUUGACGCUGCGUCUCUUGUUUUCAUUUCAUUUAAUCAAUGAUGAAGAAACCUAUGAACAAAUCUCAGACGCUAAUGUCGAACGCGGCGUUCGUUAAACGAACAGGGGUAUUAUAUAUUGAAAUUUUUGAUUAUCCAAGUAUUUAAAAUUAAAAAUUAAAAUUUUAAUUAUUAUUCAAAAAUUAUAACAAUGUAAAUAUAAUAUUUAUUUCUUCGUAUAAUUAAAAACUCGCAAAAUUGCGGGCAAAUAUGUAGUUCUUUUGUAUAUGUACUUUGGUUUGAUCGAUCAAAAGAUCCAGUUUGGUUCAGAUAGUAAGAUGCUCUGGUUGUUUGGUUUAGAAUUGUUCUCAUCGAAAUAGACUUAACUUCAAAUUUGACUUGGUUCGGCUCAAUAAUAUUCAAUCUGGGUUGGUUUCGUUUAAAAAACUUAAUGAAAUAUUUUUUUUUAAUAUCAGGUUUUGGGUCAAAAUAUAUAAUCCUCUUAGAUUCAAAAUUACAGAAUACUUUCUCUUUCCCUCUGUUUCUCAAAAAGUGCCAUUUUAGUUUUUUCUUUUUAGAUAAAAAGUAUCGUUUUAGAUUUUUAAUGCAGUUUUUACGUAUUUUCAUCUGAAUAUUAAUUGUAAAUUGCAUUGAUCUUAUAAAUAAAUUUAUUUAUUUCUAAUAUCAUUGGUCAAUUAGACAUAAUUAAUAUAAACAUAAAUAUAUUUCAAUCAUUUUCUUAAUAUGUGUGAAGUGUCUAAGUGAUAUUUAUAAUGAAACGGAUAGAGUAUAAUAUUAGUUUCGUUUCAAACGUUGCUAUUGAAUGGUCUUUUAUUUUUUUAUUUUUUUUUAUCGACUUGCUAUUGAAUGGCCUCUAAGCUUUGCUUAUGGUGUUUUUCCAGCUGAAUCAACGACACUUGUGUAGGAUAUUAUUUAUUUUUAGAGAUUUUUGGAUGUCUGAUAAAGAUAUUUUCAAAAUAGUAAAAUUUCCAUAUAUUUCAUAUAAUAUCAUAGAUAACAGUAUUACAUAUUUAUAUAUCAUUAAAUUUGUAUGACAAUCGGUUGACAUAAAAAAAAAAAAUUUGUAUGACAAUCUCGAAGAACUUUCAACUCACAACUAGUCCACCACCUAAAUAACAGUCAUAAGAGAUAUAUUUUUAUAUAUAUACAGUUUAAAUCAUGUUUCAGACAUUAGAGCAUCUCCAAAAAGGAACUCUAUUUUGAAGUUUCCAAAACUCUAUAUUUGAAGUUUAAAGGUGUUCUUCUCCAAAAACAAAAUUUUAAACUCAACUUCAAAACUAUUUAUAUUUUAUAAUAUGGUCCUUAUAUUUGUCAUAACUAAUUUAAAUUCAUAUAACUUUUGUAAAUAACUAGCACAUAUAUAAACAUAUUACAACAAUAUUAAUUAAUAAAAUAUUCUAUUAAAUAUAAAAAUUAAAUAAAAUAACUUAAUUAAUAUUAAACUUCAAACAAAAUAUCAUAUUAUUUCAUAAAAUGAUUUUCGUAAUGCAUAUAUGAUCUAUUAGUGCAUUUCGAAGUAAAAAAGACUCUCCUUAUUUUUAAUUUGUAGAUUAAGAGGUAAAAGUUGUUGAAAUCAGGUAAUAUUGAUACUUGUAAAUACAUUAUAUUGGAACAAGAAAGUAAAAUAAAAACAUAAAGUAUUGCUAAAAAACUAAUUUCUUUCGAUGAUAUUAAUACUUGUGAAUAUAUUCGAUACGAACAAGAAAGAAUUGUACGAAAAAACAUCAAAAACAACAACAACAACCACUACAAGAAAACACAAGUUUUACGAGGGCAGUUUUCCUCGCUAGUUCGUCGUAAAAGCAGUGUUACGACGAAUUAGCGAGGAAACCCGUUUCGUCGUUAUAUGUUUGUCGUAACGCAUAUAUCCUCGCUAAAUCGUCGUAAGUUAGCGAGGAAAUAAUUUCGUCGUAAAAGCGAAGGAAGAUAUUUCGUCGUAAAGACCACGUAAAGAUUCCUCGUAAGGACGUCGCUAAUUUUCCUCGUAAAGACCACGUAAAGAUUCCUCGUAAGGACGUCGCUAACAUUCCUCGUAAUUACCACGAAAAUCUUUCCUCGUAAGACACACGUAAAUAAAUACUCGUAAAAUUGACGUAAAUACCUUGAAAGCUUUCCACGUAAAGAAAACGUAAAAACCUUGAUAGAUUUCCAAAUGUUUCCUCGUAAAAACCACGUUAAGCUUCCACGUAAAGAAGCCGCAAAAUUAGCUACGAAUUUACUUCGUUUCAUUAUUUUAUAGAAAUAUAAAAAAUUAUAAUUAUAAAUAUAAUUUAAAUUAUUUAAAUUAUUAAUGAAAUUAAAAUUCUAAAAAAAUCAAAACCAAAAUAUUUUAUAUAUAAAUAAGUUUUGAAUUUCAUAAUACAAGAACCAAAAUUAAAAAGAACUUGGGUGGUCGUUAAUUAAUCGCCUCGUAGAAUUCAUCACUCCUCGCCUGAACAUCCGCCUCGGCAUGUGAGUCGUCGGUCGGUGACUGGCCUGGGAUAGGAUUUUCUUGUCGCAUGGUCCUCAACAAAGUCGCCCAUUCCGGAUUUGUGGCCGCUACAACGUCCAAGAAGCCCUCGAGUCCACCCAUACGAGAUCGCAGCUGAGUAGAAUCUCUACGCAGCUGAGUAGACUCUCUACGCAGCUCUUCGGACUCCCUACGCAGCUGAGCGACUUCAUCAUCCCGUCGCUGAACAUAAGACGAUGUCGCUAUCGGAACAUCGUUGACGGAACCAAUCCCCAACGUCCGUCCCUUUUUUUUAGGGACAACCUUAAAAACAAAAAAUAAAUUUUGUUAGUAAAAAUUUAAAGUUAAAUUAAAUGAAUAUUUAAAAAAAUUAAAAUUUUAGAAAAUUUACCUCCUCGUAAAGCUUAUCCACUUCAGGUGUGGAUAAGGUGACGGGUAAUCCAUCGGUGGACUGUUGGGUCAGCUGGGUCUGGCGUUCUUCAACCCGAGCAGCCAAAUCGUUGUAGAUUUGUUCGGACUUGCCAUCUAUAAAUCGGCCCGCCUUGUUCUUGUGGGUCCUCUCGUAAAGUUGCAUAAGAGACGGGAAUUCUCCCGUCUCUUUGGCCUAAAAAAACAUUUAAGAAAGUUGUUAAUUAGAAUAUAUAUAUAAAAAUAUACUAAAAAUUUAAUAUAAUUAAAUUUUUAAUUACCAUUUCCAAACGGACACCAGCGUGGGGUUUUUGGCCCGUAGUGUGAAGCAUCGGCCCGUUCCCGUGCUCAUCGACUGUGUUACGGGAGUUAGAGCAAGACUGGGCGAUUCUAAUGGAAUCAGGAAGACGCCAAUAUCGGAUGAGGCCAUCCCAGACAUCCGUGGUGAGCUCAGCGGGUUUGCCACGCUCAUACCCCUUCACGAUCCAGUCACCCUUCCAGUUGGAGACCGUGUCCAACAAGCGAACUUUCGCCUUCGCUUCAAACUUCUUCCUCACCCUCUCAGUGAUCCCGAAGGCCCAAUUAUAUUUUUGCUGUUGGAAAAAAUAAUUUAUAAUUAGUUUUUCAGAAAAAAAUAUAUAUAUAAAUAAUUAAAAAAUUUAAAGAUAUAUAUUUAAUUAAUAGAACUUACAGCGUAAAUUUUGAACCACGUCUUUCUGACGUAGUGGGGCGUCAUUUUCCAGUUCGGAUGUGCCAUGGAGAAGUAACCUUUUAUCGUGUCGGUUACGUCCGAUGCAAGACAUCCGUCAAUCCCCCACCUGAAAAAUACAAAUUUAAAAUAUAAAUUAUUUUUUAAAGUUAUAAAAUAAUUUAAAAAGAAUAAAAAAAUAAUGAAACAUACCAUAAAGUUCCGUCCGGUCGGUCGGGGUCGAUGACUGGUAAACCUUCUCUGCCUGGCAGACGGAGAAUGUCCUCUACGGUGUACUGCGAGUAAGGAGCACUCGGAGGCACCAUCAAAUCGGGAUGAAUCUCGGCCGCGGGCAUCGGAGGUGCCGGCAUCGUAGGAGGCACAGGAGGAGGAGGCAUCUGGGGAGGCACGUGAAGAACCGAUGGUGCACUAGAAGAAGGAGAUCCAAUGACUCUCUGAGUGUACUGAGUCUCGGGGACAGUCUCCUGACCCAAAGAACCGGGAGCUGAAGAAGACGACGGGUCUAAACGACUACCCGGCUCUCCGAACAUCUCUCUGUAAUGGGCAGUAAGUCUACCUUUUCGAACCUGAGAAAAAAAUUUAAUUUUUAAAAUUUUCGUAAACAUAUCUAAAUUCCCUAUACUAAAUAACAUAAGAUCCGUAAACCUAUCUAAAUUCCCUAUACUAACCACCUAAUCUAUCCUAAACUAAUCAAACUAGAGAGGAAUUAGGGAGACUUACCAUUGCUACGAAUUAGGGAGGAAGUGGAGAGGAAGUGGAGAGGAAAGACGGAGCGAGCUCGCUCGGGAUAUAUAUAAGAUUACUUGUCCUCGUAAUUUCCUCGUAAACUUACGAGGAAUUACAGAGGCCCGCGUUUUCAGUUACGACGAAAUAGCGACGAAAUACAAAGGCCCGCGUUUUCGUUAACGACGUUUUUACGACGAAUUAGGUUACGUGGAAUUAACGAGUUAACCAGUUACGAGGAAUUAGCGAGCCUAUAUUUUCUAUAAAUACCCACAACUUUCCUUCUCAAACCACACACAAACUCACAAAACACACCCUAUCUCAAAUCACACUCCUCACCAAAAUACUUUUCAAAUUAGAAAUAUUUGAAAAAAAAAAGAAGAAAAGAAGAUAUUAGAAUUUAUGUGGAUGAGACUUAAGUCUCGCCACAUAUAAUUCCAGUAUCUUUCUUUUUUUCUUUUUUACUAGUUUUUAUACUAUGAGGAAGUAGCUAGUCCCGCUUUUCACCAAAUUAGAAAUAUUUGGAAAAAAAGAAAGAGAAGAAGAUAUUAGAAUUUAUGUGGGCGAGACUUAAAUAUUAUAAUUGCUGGAAGUCUUGCUACAUGUAAAUCUGGUGUCUCUCUUCUUUUCCUUUUUUUUCUAGUUUUUAUUCUACGAGGUUUUUACGACGAUUUUUGUUACGAGGUGUUUACGACGAAAUCAUCCUACGUGGAAUUAAAGAGUGCCUCCUUCGUCAUUUACUUUACGUGGUAUUUACGUCUAUUUACCUUACGAGGUCUUUACGACGAUUCCGUCCUACGUGGAAUUAACGGGUUUCGCUUUCUUUAUUUUUUUUAGUUUCGUCGUUAUUUCCACGUAAGAUAACGAGGUCUUUACGACGAUUCUGUCCUACGUGGAAUAAACGAGGAUUACGUCGUACAUUCGACGUCAACUUACGAGGAAUUAACGAGUAUUACGUUUAAUCCCUAAAAUCCGAAACCCCAAACCCCAAAACCCCAUAUUCCUUAUCUUCUACUUCAUAUAUUCCAAACCCCAUCUUUAUUUUCAUUCCAAACCACAAUUCCCACAUUUACUUAUUUAUAAAACAAACUCCCACAAUUUCUUAUUCAUAAAACAAACUCCCACAUUACCUUAUUCAUAAAACAAACUCUCACAUUACCUUAUUCAUAAAACAAACUACACAAAAUCAAAUACAUCAAUCGGAUACAUCGACAUUCUCGUCAUCACUAGAAAUAUCAUCAUUUUCAUUAAACUCGUCUUCUACAGCUUCGUCUGUGGCAUCAUCGGUAAGAUCUUCGUAUUCGUGAUUAUGCGGAUCAAUGAGAAGGAUGUCAUCAACUUCUUGUUCAGGUUCCUCGACUUCAUUUAUCUGUUCUUCUUGCAAUGGUGGUUCUUCUCCACUGAUGAUUCGUCCUCGAGGUGUAACUUUGAUCACUGCUAACCAAUUUAUACCCGAAUCUCUCAUCCGAGGGUAUGGAAGGAAGCUAACUUGGUCUGCUUGUGAAGCUAAGAUGAAAGGCUCGAAUUUGUUGUACCGACGUCCACCGUUGACAUCAACUACACCAAAUUUGUUAGACCGAACACCUCUGUUGACGACGGGGUCGAACCAUUCACAUUUGAAGAUGACGCAUUUCAGCUUCAGUAUCCCUGGAAAUUCGACUUCAAUAAUCUCCGUCAAGAUCCCGUAGAAAUCUGUUUCCCCUUUCACACAUAUUCCAUAGUUACUGGUCGCCCGCUGUCUACCAUACUCAUAUGUGUGAAAAGUGUAGCCUCGUGUGAAAUACAUCUGUGAUGUGGUGACCUUUACAAGUGGAGAUUGAAUUACUUCGUGUAACCACUUAGGAUAAUCUGCAUCGUCGUCAUAAUCAACCUGCAAAAAUAAAGAGAACAUUAAAAUACAAAUCAUGUAUGAAAAAAUAGUUUGAGUUAUAAUACCUGAUUCCGCAACCACUUAAUGAAGUGCUGAUCUUUCCUUUUGUCUACGUCACUUGUGGAUAUACCAGGAAAUGUUUCUUCGACUUGAGAAACAAAUAGGCUGUAAAAUUAAUCACAUUUCAUAGGAAUGAAUCUCUUGCAAUUAUAUAAUUAAUUAUAUGUGUUUUGAAGUGUCCAUAUAUGUUACCUUUCAAAAUAACGCAUCAAUGGAUCCUCGCAAUUGAGUAGAAUAUAGGUGUGUGCACUAUGAGCGUCUUGUUCACUCGACCACCAAACCUCUUUAGACUUCCCACCGAGUCGUCCAAUCUGGCUAAAGAUGUCUGGAACACCAGCAACUGCAUAUGUUGGCGCAACUCCACCAUCAUCAUAUCUUCUUGGAGCUCUUCUACGGGUACGUACUUUUGACGCAAAGUAGUACGAUGUGAAGUGAGAAACUUCUUCCGUCAAACUUCCAGCAAUUAUAGAACCUUCAACUUUGGCGAGGUUCUUUGCUUUUCCCUUCAAAUAUUUCAUGGCUCGCUCAUACUGAUACAUCCAUCCGUAAUGUACAGGUCCACGAAGCAAUGCUUCAUAUGGGAGGUGGACAGCUAGAUGCUCCAUGACGUCAAAAAAUCCAGGAGGAAAUAUCUUCUCCAAGUUGCACAAUAAGAUGGGAAUGUUCUCCUGAAGCUGUUCUACAACUUCUUCUUUAAGAGUGCGUGUGCUCAGAUCCCUGAAAAAUGCUCCAAUGCCUUUUAUAUUCCAAAAACAAUUAAACACAUUGUUAGUCGUAUAUUAUUUUGCAAACUAGACCGUUAUAAAAUUAUUGUGAUAUAAAACACUACGAACCUGCAAGUGCUUCAUGUACGUUUGUUGGAAGUAGCUCCGCAAAUGCAAAGGGCAGUAGUCGUUGCAUAAAGACAUGACAAUCAUGACUCUUCAUCCCAGAGAACUUUUGACCCUUUUCAACACAUCUAGAGAGAUUUGAAACAUACCCAUCGGGGAACUUCACUUCUGAUGCCACCCAGUUGAACAACACCGACUUUUUUUCUGAAGACAGUCUGAAUAUCGGAACGGGAACUUGUCCAUUGCUUUUAAUAUGUAACUCGCUUCUUGAGCAAAUAUCCGGCAAGUCCAACCUCGAUUUUAUGUUGUCUUUUGUCUUCCCUGGGACAUUCAAUAUUGUAUUCAUGAUGUUCUCAAAGAAAUUCUUCUCUAUAUGCAUCACAUCGAGGUUGUGGCGCAGAAGAAGAUCCUUCCAAUAUGGCAACUCCCAAAAUAUACUCUUCUUGUGCCAGUUGUGAUGAACACCGUAAGAAUCAGGCAUAUUACGAGGGACAUGCCAAUUACCACCCCAACGAACUGUUUCGUUAGCUCCGUAGUAGUCGAUUUGUGCUUCAAUUUGUUCUCCAGUUAGAUAUGGUGGAGAAGUGUCUCUCACAACCCUUUUGUGCCUAAACAAAUUCUUGUUUCUUCGGUAAGGAUGGCCAAUGGGAAGAAAUCGACGAUGACAAUCAAACCAACUUGUCUUCCUACCAUUCUUCAGUUGAAACGCAUCUGUCGUUCCAUUACAAUAUGGACAAGCUAAUCUCCCAUGUGUAGUCCAUCCAGACAACAUCCCAUAUGCAGGAAAGUCACUUAUGGUCCACAAAAGCAUAGCUCGCAUCGUAAAAUUCGUCUUCGUUGAACAGUCAUACGUCCUCACCCCUGUUGACCACAAAUCCUUCAACUCUUUUAUCAGUGGUUGUAGGAAAACAUCCAGGGACCUUUUUGGAUGGUUCGGACCAGGUAUCAAUAUCGUCAAGAAUAGCAACUCCCGUUGCAUGCACAUCUCCGGUGGCAGGUUGUAUGGCGUAAGAAAGACUGGCCACAAUGAAUAUUGUCUCCCUGACAUUCCGAACGGACUAAAUCCAUCUGUGCAUAAUCCGAGAUACACAUUCCGGCUAUUGCUAGCAAAAUCCGGAUGUACUUUGUUGAAAUGUUUCCAGGCUCUUGCAUCUGAUGGAUGAGUCAUCUCACCAUCCGUCUGAGUAUGCUCGGCAUGCCAUCUCAUCUUUGCAGCAGUCUGCUCUGAUUGAUACAAUCUUUUCAAUCUGUCUGUAAUUGGUAGGUACCACAUCCUUUGGUACGGUACCCUAUUACGUCCCCGUCCUUGCGGCUUGAAUCGUGGCUUCUUGCAGAAUCGACAUACUUCUAGCUUCUCAUCAUCUCCCCAAUAGAUCAUGCAGUUGUCGAUGCAGACAUCUAUCAUCUCCGAAGGCAACCCAAGACUAUAAACUAAUUUCUGAAUCUCAUAAUAAGAAUCAGCAGACACAUUGUCUUCCGGCAAAUACUCUUUAAACAAGUCCGCCCAUUCGUUCAUGCAACUUUCAGGUAGAUUGUGAUCAGUUUUAAUAUUCAUCAUUCUAGCAGCCAACGACAAUUUAGAGAGACCUUCUCUACAACCACUGUAAAGUGGUUGAUUCGCCGCGUUUAACAUUCCGUAAAACUUUUUUGCAUCUAUAUUAGGUUCUUCAUCUUCAUCAUGAGCUACGAAUGCAUCAGCUACCAUAUCAUGAACCCUAUCAUAAUCUACCAUCUCCUCCUGAUGGUAACUAUGUUCAUUAUGCAAAUGAUGAUUAACCGGUUCUUCCUGAAAAUUGCUAUUACUACUACUAGCUUCAUUCUGAUCAUAAUUAUAACCUUCCCCAUGUUGAAACCAGAUAUAGUAAUUUGGCGUGAAACCUCUAUUUAUUAAAUGCUUCCAAACAUUUUCACGGUUUGCCAAUUUCGAAUUGUUGCAUUUCCGACAAGGACAGAACAUCUUACCACUUUCUUGGGCGAGCGGUGUUGAAUCUGCUUGGUGCAUAAAUGUCUCCAGCCCCGCAAGGUAUUCUUUCGUCACUCUCCCGUUAGCAUCUCUAUGCAUAUACAUCCAAUUCCGCAACUCGUAAAUAGUCCCAGAGCCAGCCAUUUUUUUUUCUUUCACGUUUUUUGUUGUUGGUGUGUUUAAAAUGAUGUUCCAACAUCCAUAUUUAUAGAAAAUUUCGAAUCUGGUAGUUGUAAUUUUACUAUGAAAUUACGACGAAAAUUAAUUGUAUGGCCAAAAAAAAAACGUGAGCCACCUACCAAGUUGGUGGAUUCAAAAUUUCCUCGUUAAGUACACGUAAAAUAUUUCGUCGUAAAGCACUCGCGAAAUUUACGUGGCUUUUACGAGGAAAAACUAUUUCCUCGUAAAAGCCACGUCAAUUUACAUCGUCUUUACGACGAAUUUUUUUUGUCGUUACCUUACGACGAAAUAACGAUGCUUUUCUUUCGCAACGUAAUUUCCUCGCAAAAUCAACGUUUUUUUACGAGGAUUAUUUUUCCUCGUUAAACUUCCUCGGUAAAGAUACGUUUUCUUGUAGUGAACCAUCUUUAGUUACAAAAAAAAUUUGGACAAUAUUUGAAAAUUUAAAUGUUCCGGAUCAAACUUACAUGACUAUUAAUAUUGUUGUAAUAUUUAAAUUUGUGUAAUAGAGUUAUGUCUUCAUGUAAUUUUUUAAAAUCUUUUUGUUAAGUUUUUUUUGUAUAUUAUUGUUGUCUAAAUUUAGCUUUAAAUAUUUUAAAUUUUAUUUUAAAGUUUUAUUUAAUUUUAUAUGUAAAAUUGAAAAUAUUUAUGAGAUAUAAUCUUUAUAAGGAUUAAAACAAUAAACAAAAAACAUUUAUGAAUCAUAAAGGUGAUGUGUGAUUAUAGGGACCAAUAUGCAAAUAAAAAUAUGAAACUUCAAAUUUGAAGUUUUGAGUAGUGAAACUUCAAAUAUAGAGUUUCACUCCUCAAAACUUCAAAUUUGAAGUUUUGAAGUUUCUUUUUGGAGAGCAAAAAACUUCAUAUUUGAAGUUAUAGAGUGUCUUUUGGAGAUGCUCUUAGUGCAAAACUGUUAGGUGAAAGAAUAUCAGAAAGUUUGUUCCAAUUCAAUCUUUUCAUGUGUUUCAGAUCACCUUUUAGACUAGUUGCUUGAAAGACUGAAUGACCUGAUAUAUUUAAUUUUUGCAGAAUUAAUGAAACCAUUAAUAAUGUGAAGAAGCAUAGUUUAAUCAAAAGUAGAAUCUAUAAAAAAAAAUUUAUUUGAGAGUCUUUUGUUGUUUUGUAAAUUGUAAUUGGUGAGUGAACUCAAAAUGCAUAUAGAGUUGAGAAAAAACGACUGCAAUUUCACUUGAGGUUAAUGGCACCCACAAUGUGUUUUGAUUCCAUCCCCUCUUUUUUUGUAAGCUAAAUUUUGAUUACCAAUCAAAAGAUACAAAGUUAUUACAAACUGACAAAAACAAAUUAUUACAUAUGUAUAUACGUCGUAUAAGGAAUCCACAUAGAUACAUGGACAAAAAGGAUGGCUAACCAUAAAUAACAGACAACAACGAAGACAGAAAGACACCAACACGACGGUGUUCUCUUCUUGAUCAAUGUACCGAGCAACUCUCUCUCUCUCUCUCUCUCUCUCUCUCUCUCUGGUGAAACCCAUUCUGUUCUCCCAUGAUUGUGUCUCAGAAGCUGUGUAUGUACAUGAACGAUGGGAGAGGGAUUUGGACUGAUGAUUCCCAGAGACUCUAGCAGGGCUAUGCAAGCCUUUGCCUUAUUGGGUCUGAGUUGCGUCUUCUCUGAUUUUGCGCAGAUGUUUGCGUGAGUUUUCCUGCUCUGAUGGCUUUAGCUGACUGUGAUCCUAAUGAUUUUCCUGCUCAAGAGAAUAUUCACAGUUUGGACUUAAAAAGACAAUAGAUCAAAAGACAAAUCGAAAUCUUUCAAAGGACAAAUGUGUUGCGUCUUAUUAGGGUGUAACUUGUUCCAUAUCUAAUAGCUGAGGUAUUUGAUUUGAGGUUUGGACAAAGUCUCCAAUAAAACUUAGCUAUCCUAACAUCUAAAUUGUGGUCUGGUACCUUUAUGACCAAUGCAAAACUGAUUCUAUUAUCACUAUCACAAUGUUGAUAAGACUAUUCUCUUAAUGUUAAGCGUAGAGAAAGAGAUCUGACCACUGUUUGGUAGAGAUAACCGUUCCUUUGAAGAUCUUUCUUUUGGAUUGCUGUGAGAUCUUGGAACAGCACCAGGUCUUCUUGAGUUAACUUCAACAGCAAGAUCGUCUUUAGCAAGCUUUGACCUAGCCUUGGAUACCACUGGAAUGCUUGAAGAUACUCCAGGUGAAGAAGAAUCAUUAUCAGACAUAGAUGGCCCUGUUGCCUUCCCACUCGAAACACCACCGGAUACAAGAGUUGAAGUGUUUGGCAUCCUGCUUGCACUUUUCAUCUGUGUUUUAUGCACACUCUCAGACUGCUCCAUAUUGUUUAAGUUUACAUCUUCUCUGAGGUUACUACUGUCAAGAAACCGAUUCUCCCAUGGACGAACAGCCAUCCAUCUUUCCAGCCAGUUCCAUCCCCAGUUGUUUUUGUCAGGUUGAAAUGCACUGUGCGCAGACAGCUUCCUAGUUCCUGCUUGCCACUACAAUACACCAAAUUCAAAUGUAAGAGAAAGAAUGAUCCUUAACUAGGAUAGAGGUUGUUGUGAGUAAAACCUGGUGAGUCAAAGCAUAAGCCAUAGCCCUCUCACGCUUAGUUGCAGCUUCCUGCCUCUUUACCAGCUUUGUCCGGAUUUGUUCAACAGAUCCAAUGCUAUCACACCAACCUCCCUGAUAAGACAAUGUCAGCACAACCAGAACUCUCUCCAAAAAAUAAAAACAAAAAUUAAAAAGUAACAUAAAAGUUGUAUUUAGACAAGUGAUCAUCACCUCUAUUUCUUGAACUCGGGCUUCAUCUGUUACCUGCUGUUGAAGUGUCUGCUGACCCGUUUCACAUUCCAAGGAGAGACGAACACGUCUUGCACGUACACGAGCCUGGACUCUUACUAACGCUUGCAUGCACCGAAGGGUUACAGCUGCUUGUUUUCUCACAACGUGUCCUCUAACAAGGGCUUGUAGUCUAACCAAACCCUUCAACGCUCUUAAAGCCCUUCUCGCCUACAAAAAAUUGUAUCAUCCAAUUUUUCUCAGUCCAAUCAAGGCCAUAAAGAAUAGACAAUCACAGCACAACAGAUAAGAGGACUUAACAAGGCUAAAAUUGAUACCAGAAAGGCUCGAAAAGCUGUUUGGAUGCGCGUUGCAGCCAGAUGUUCCUUCCUUUGUUCUUCAUAAGCUGCACCAUAUGAUUGUAGUGAACUUGAAGUAGAGACUCCAGCAUCUAUCACACUAUGCACAUUUGAAUCUUCAAAUCCAACUUGGAACUUGUCAGCAUCAAAAUCAACUGAAUGCUUCCUCCCAAACCGGCUCUUGGUAGCAAUCUUCACCUUCAUCAGUUGAACAAACAUAUAAUGAAAACACACAAAAAAAAAAUGAAAGUUGUAACCAAUAUUUGAUAAAGAGAUUAUCUAGUCAUUUACAUUAUCAUCCUUCUUUGAAGACUUUGACUUGGUGAAACCAACCAAUGCUUUAAUCCAUCUCCCUGAAGCACCCAUUGCAUCAAUGAGAACAACAAACCUGCAAAACUGCAGCUGAAUUAUACAAAAAGAAACGAGCUUCCUAUUUUGGGUCAGAGCAGAAACAUAGAAACUCAAUUGGGUCGCUAAAUGCUUCAGACAAUGUUUUUUUGUUUGACCAAAACUUUUCGGACAAUGUUUUUUUUUGUUUGACCAAAACUCUUCAGACAAUGUUUGGAAUCCCAGAGGAACACUAAAUCAAACAGCUGUCUAAAGCAAAAGAAUAAGCAAAAUUUGCAAUAAAACUUUCAAAUUGAGAGAGAGAGAGAGAGAGAGAGAGAGAGAGAGAGAGAGAGAGAGAGAGAGAGAGAGAGACUUUACCGGCGGAGACGGAAAGAUCAGCCAAUGAGAUCUCGGAGGAGGGUGUGAAAGUGAGUGAUCUUCAGUCACUGACCGUCUUCCUUGCCUACUUUCUCUCUCUCUCUUGAAACAGACUCAUUAUUUGCUCUUUCUCUCUCUAGAUUUGGGUGAAGAAUUAUUACAGAUAGGAAUUGACUUGCUUAAAAAAAUUUGAUUUUUUCUUUUAUCGUUUCGUUUCCCUCUCCUCAGAUACGAAUGAGUGAAUGAUUGGAUAGAUUGCACGCCGUCAGGGUUGCUAAAUUUGCGCCGUGUGACCUGCACAUGCUGAACUUGACAGCGUUUUGUUGAGCUUUAAAACGGCAAGCUGUUUAGAUUCCGUUAUCUCUCAUAUAUUGCAAAAAUAAUUAAUGAAGGAACCAAUAGAUUUAAAUUAUUUAUUUAGUUUAAAAGUAGCUUUUAAGUUUUUCAAUUGUUUAGUAUUGUUGAACCAAAGGUUCUACUAAAUGUUUAAUGAGUUAACCGGAGACAAAACCAUGUUAAAAAUCUCGUUUUUUUUUUUUUUUUGCUAAGCUGUAAAUAUCAUAUAUGAAGAUAGAUUCUACAAAAAGUAUUAUCUUGGUUCUGAACCAUUUUGGCAAAAAAGAGAAAAACAAGAUGGGUCAACAUUUUAAACUAGAGACUAAGGAUUUAUCGAAGCCAUAUAGCCAUAAGAUCUCUGAAUUUCUUAUACUUCCUUCUAGCGGAGAUAACGUUUCUCAGCUCUUUGUCAAUGCUCCUGAAGACCGCGAUCGCCGGGAAAGAGAUCUGGUUAUGGAUUAAGUUAUUCCGCUGCUUCCACAGAUGAAACACCACUGUUUGAGUUGCUAAUUUCCUAAGCAGAGAUAGUCUCUUAGAGUUAGGGACUUGGAUCCAAGAGAGUAGCUCUGCCCAGUCCGUGAGUGGAGAGGUAGGAGGAUGGCAUCUGCUGAAGACGUAGCUCCAGACGUCGAGACUGUAUUCGCAAGACAGAAACAAGUGCUCCCUCAUUUCUGGUUCUCUUGAACAGAAGGAGCAGAGGGGUGAUAACGGGAGACCCCACGAAGUAAGCCGGGCCUUUGUUGGCAACCUGUCAUAGUUAGCUGUCCACAUUGUAAAGGCAUGCUUCGGUAUUGAUCCUUUGAACCAGACCACGUCAUGCCAGUCUUGAAUCUCCUGCUUUGGCCUCAGGGCUUCCCAUGUGGUAAAGGCUCUGAAAACAUUAGAAGGAGAGUCACCAACAAUCCAUUCAUAUUCGUCAUCAAUAUCAUGAGAUAGAGGAAGAGUUAUAGUAGUGAGAUGAGAGUGU